This 58378-nucleotide long non-coding RNA is filed under the name Marmota monax (woodchuck). Lineage: Eukaryota; Metazoa; Chordata; Mammalia; Rodentia; Sciuridae. The record is from RNAcentral.
UGCACCCACAGAGAAAGCAGCAGUCACACAGGAACAUCUGCUCUGAACAUGGCCCCCUUCCAAUGGCCCUGGCUCGAAAGAAGUUGGUAAAAUGGCCUCCUUCAAUGUAAGUCACUGUGGCCUUGGGAUGGCCUUGAGUUCUCAGCCACCAGCCACAGUGCUUUCCCUUCCCUCUCCGGUUCUCCCAUCAACAUGUUGCAGAAAGUUCUCUUCACAGAGAGCCUUAUUAUUGACUCGGAUAUUCUGGCUCAGAACACCCUUACCAUACACCACUCCAGCCAGCGGUGAGUGAUAACAACUCUGUUUGUGUUUAAUUAGCUCUUGGUUUAGGGGCAGUUUGUGUUGAGGGUGUGUCUGUUUUAGUUGGUUAUGCAGUUGACAGAAAUAUAUGUGUAUUGAUGUGGGUCCUCUGUGUAUGCCCUCUCAAUGCUCUGGUCUGAAAGUUCAACAGGCCCUCACUACGCUACCAAUGGAGGCAAAUUGUUGGAAUGUCUGUGCUUUGAUUUCAUUCUGUUCAACCGGAAUGAUAAUACAUGUUCUGUGUCUCUAAAUAUCUGUCUGGGCAGAGGUCCAUACUGCUUAUCGUGAGGCAGAACUUCUGGGUGAACCAGUGUUGCUGCCCUGUUUCACAGUCCUAGAGGAGAGCACAGCUUUGGAGACUAUUCCCCGGGCAGCUGGCUACUUGCCCUGACCCUAAGUGUCAUCUGUUUAUUUCUUGUAUUUUUAAAAUCAUGUCCCUCAUAGAAUCCAUGUCAUGACUUACAUUCACAAAAAUAUCUAAAAUAGAAGCAUGAUUAUAAAGUAGUGGAUUAUUUUUUUAAACAAACAUUACAGAAUGUGUUCACCUAAAUGUGUGUUGUUCCUUUCAAAGUGAUCACUUUUGAAAGUUGUACACAUAUUCUCAAGAUGGUAAUAUUAGGUAACAUUUUAAAGAAAUUCUUCUUUGGAAUUUCUUAAUUUAAAGGUAAUACAAAUUCAUAUUGAAAGAUUUGGUUUUUGUCUUAGUCUGUUUUCUGAAUUUAUAUUUGUUGUUCUAAAACCCAGGGAUAAGCGUUGUUAAUGUUGUGUAUAUAUCUUCCUAGUCUUUUUUUCUGAAUUUUAGUCUACUGAAUACACUCAGUGGGGAUGAAUCUUCAUUCUCUCAGGGCAAUUUAGAUAUUUGAAAUUUAAUUCCAUUACAUUGAAUUCAGCAAAUAUCUAAACAGUGUCUCUACAUGCAAAGGAGUUAAGUGAAAUAAAAAGAUUAACAAGAUAUGUUCAGAUUGAUUUUUUUUUAAAGACCAUUGGCUGGUUCAGAAGGUAAUGCUAAAUAGAAUUACAAAAAGUAUUUUGAACAAUUGCAACAUCGUUGGAAUAGGUGUAGUCUCCCAAGAGGAUACAUUGAAGGGGACAGUACAAACAGUUGUGGAAUUCCUGGAAUGUUAAAAAAAUGAAAGUAAUUUACAUCAUACAUUGAAUAAAACUAUUUGGGGUAACCAGUAGCAGUCACCACAGCUCAAAAACUAAAACUGGCCUGAUGCUGAGGUAAAAAAUAGGUAAGGUGACUCUCAUACCAGCUUGUCUAGGACAAUCUUGGUUUAUGACUGUUGUCUUAAUAGAAUUAAAACAGAGCCCUCUUUCUUCUCUGAAGAGGACUGGCCUGCAGGAUCAACUACUGAUCACCCUAAUGACAGAGACAGUGGAUGUUGGCAUCUCCCCUACUGCUCUCCAUGGACAACUUUAGUUAAUUUAGCUAGGUAGGUCUGUUGGUUCAUCCUGAAAUCUUUCUAUUGGUCUAUCUCUUGGUCCUUUUUUUCCUUUUCAUCCAUUGAUUAAAACAUACAUGUUCUAAUAUCCCGGAGAAAUACAGGGAAAAAUAAGCAAUGAGUUAAUAUUUAAUCUCAGCUUCUUAUCAAAGAAAGGCAGGUUAAAAUAAGUUAUGAAUAAUAAAAGUCAGUGAGAGUGUAGUGAGAUGCAUAUUCCGUGAUGGGGAGAAAUUAUUAAGACACUUAAGGGUAAUUUGGUUAUAGGUCUUACACUUUCUGGAGGUACGGAUUUUAGACUUUGAAGCCAGGACACCUGAGAGUGAAUUCUGACUUCAUCACUUACCAAAAGCAUGAAUUUGAGAAUUUACCUACCUUCUUGGUGCUUUUUCAUCAGUACAUAGAGAUAAUCAUCAUAUUUCUCUCAUGGGGUAUUUUUAAAGAUUAAAUUAUGUCAUACUUACUAUAUUUCACAUACAUAUUCCACAAGCUUACUCUUAAUUAAUGGAAUGAGCAUUUUCCAAGUGGUUAUGAGGCAGCAUUGAAAAAUAGCAUUAUCUGUGGUAUUCAAUCAUUUAACAAAUGGGUUUGAGGAUGAAUAUUAAAUCAGGCUCUAUUCCCAAUAUAGUGGAUAUAUAAUUAGGUAGAAAAAAGAUAUAUACUCCCUGACCUCUUUUUGCCUGGAAGGGAAGAAAAGCAUUCAAUGCCUAAUUACAACUAAAGACUAGUGAGUUGCAAGCUAGGACAAGCACUAGGGGAGGCUUACCUUAGUACCUGGGGUCAGGAGAGCCCCCUGCUGAAGUGCACUUGGGUCUUGGAUGAAAGGAUGUAUGGAAAGCUCAGACUGAUUAAAAACAACAACAACAACAACAACAACAGAAAAACUUAUACCUUAGCAUAUUCUAGUUUAAUUAAAUAAAGCCAGGUUAUUGUGAUGCUCCCAUAAGCCAUACAGCUAUAGAGCCAAAUUCUGUACAGAGGUGGGGUGGGCUUCAGGCUGGAGCGUGACGUAAGCCCCUAAUGCAUUGGUGCUGGUUCAUCUGAUUUCCAAAGCUCUAAGGUUCAUCCCUGAGGCAGAUGCCCAGAAAUGCCUAGGCCUUAAACUGAGAGUACCAACUCUUCUAUCAUCUUUCAGCAGCUGUGCUGUAAGAAGUGCAGUUUUGGGUAGUUUUUCUAAGGCGCAUAUUUGUACCCUUCUCUAAGCACUCUGUAUUCUUCCUUUGGCUCAGCUGCAUUUCAGAAUUGGUCUCAACAUUACCUAACAGAGUCCAGGUUAUUCUUUAAUCUUGUGUCCAGAGUGUUUUAUUGAAAGCCACCAUCAAACAUGCCAUCUGAAAUUCACUUCUUAAUUUGUUCUAAGUAUAUUGAAGAUCUUUUCUUAAAUCAUCCUGCUUCUUAUGAAAACCCAUGUAUCAUUUUAUUUAGAAUUUAGUACUAAAAAGAGUUUUAUCUAUUUUCUAGACACUGGUAUACUGCUUAAUCUCUGAUGUGAAUUAUGGUCCUGGCUGCCAGGGUAUUCAUAAUCAAAAUGUCCAAUCACAGGAACCAUAUAGACUGGAUGCAGGCUUCCUUUUCCUUUGGCCCUGUUUCUCGGUCUUUUAAAUUUAUCAUAUAUUUUGAUUAAAGCAUUCUAAAUCCUUUGUGAUAAAAGUAUGGUUAUAAAUAAACAAACUAAAAAUAUGACAUAUCAUCAUUUUAAGUUAAUACUUAUAAAUAAACUAAGCACAUUUUUGGAUGGUUAUUAUUUUAAAAACAAGAACUGGAAAUGUAACAUCAGUAGAGUGUUUACCUUGUAGGCACUAGGCCCUGGAUUCAAUUCUCAGCACUACAAAAAAACAAAAAAAGUUUGCUGGACAUGGUGUUGCACACCUAUCAUCCCAGGAGUCUGAGGCAGGAGGAUUGCAAGUUUGAGACCAACCUCCACACCUUAGUGAGACCAUGUCUCAAAAUAAAAUAAAUAGGGCUGGGAUGUAGGUCAGUGGUAGAGAGCCCCUGGGUUCAAUCCCCAGUACCAAAAAUAACAACAAAAACUAAUAAAGCACAAACUAAUGACUGAAAGAAUAGAACUUAAUAGGAUUAGCUGUGGUAGUGAUUAGGGGGAGGUUAGAAGUCUGUUAAAUCUGCUAGUUUGUGCUCUAAAGCCUGGGAGCCCUACAGCAGAUUUUGUAGGUGUGUCCCACAGAGAAUUCUGAUCUCCACCCAUUUCUUUGGAGCUUCGCUGUCCUAGAAGGACUUGGGAAGGUCCCAAACCAGAAAAACUGAACAAGCCUUACUCACUUCCAUACACAACGUGUUCUCAGUGCUCAAGACUUAAAAAUAGGCCCCUGUCAGGCAGAAUCCUUAAGGCAUGCUGCAUCUUGACUCUGCACAUCUUGUGCUUAAACCCUAGCAGAAACAAAAAGAACAGCCUGGGGAUAUGUGAAGAGAUAUUAUCAGGCUUAGUAAAAGUGCAGAGGCAGAGUGAAUUACCCUGUGAUGGGGAUUUAGAACUUUCAGGAUUCAGGUCAUCUUAGGGGUUGUCUAGAAUCUGCUGUACAAGGGAGAAAGGAAGGAGGGAAAGUCACACCUGCCAAAUGUCUACGUGUGCCAGGCACCGUGAGUUCAUGUCCACCUUGUUUGUAAUGACCAUGAUGCUCUUUCUCUUUAAGACAAGCAGAGGUAUUCACAUGCAGCUUUCUCUUUGGUGUUUAGAGAACUCCCUCCCACACCUUUUCAGAGUACCAUUUGUCUUGUUGGAAAACAAUAAAAACUUGAAUCAUAGAUUUCAAGUCCUUAGUGACUCUUAAUCCAAUUUCAAUUAAUAUUUUACAAUAAAGCUAACAAGUGAACUUUUCUCAAUGUUAUUGAGAAUUUAGUUCAAAAUAAAAAGGUUCUUUAAUUGGUCUUAGAGAUGUUGGCUGUACCAGAUCAAUCUCUAGGGAUUAGGUGUGAUUUGAAAAAUGUGAAAGAUAAAACAAAGGCAAGGAGUGGACCCUGUUGGAACUACUUUUCAUCACAGAUGAAAUCUGGUUUAUGGUCUGAUACUAGCAAUCACAUUAAGUUACACAUUCAUGCCAAUACUACUCCAUUUUCUGAUCCCUCUACUAUAAAUUAUCUGUCUAAUCAUAAGUAAUAAAAUAAUACAUUUUCUUUCCUGAAAUCUGCUAGGCUGAACAACUUUUAUCAAGAUGAUAAAGGAUUUUUCAACUCUCUCACCAAAAUUCUAAGUGCUACUCCAUGGUUGUCUGUUUUCAAAGAUAUGCAAAUGUGUCCAAAGUAUAUGUCAGACAAAUAGACUUUCUAAAGUCACAGAAAUAAGAAUUAAAAGACAUUUGGAAGAGAAGUCCAGCUUGAGUUGAUCUUGCUCAAACUCCUGAUUUUACAGGUAAAGAAAAAAUGAAAGCUAUAAAGCUGAAAGAGAUUAUCCACUGGGAUUCCAGGGUUCCUGUAAUCAUAUCAUAGUAAAGAUACUAUUUUGAGUAUCAUUUUGGCAAAAUCCCACAUAUACCAGUGCAUUUCCUUAUUUUCUAGGCUGCAUGGGAUUGUAAUGUUUCCAAUAAUUUCAGAGAUCAUCCAAGUCCAAACCUUUCAUCUAGAAAUGAGAACAUUAAGACCAAGAGAAGCAAAAUACCCAAAGUCCCGUAGCUGAAGAGUAGCACAGUUGGAACUGGAAUCUACUUUCUUAACUUGUAGGUCAACUCUUUUCUGCCAAGAGGUAUCUUAGCUCAGUAAAAUAGGAAGCCUAAUGAGGUUGUUCUCAAGCAUGAAAUAAUGUGAAGUAAGAAAUUGAAAAAGAUGUUGCUUCAACAGCCCGCAUGUAUCACUAAAGCCUGCAGCAAGUAAGGGUUAGCAGGGCUGAUUUUACUUACUACUUUUCAGUGCAGGAUUAGAAGCUCCUCCUGGAAUGUGCAGUUCAGACAUUAGCACUGGGCUUUCUGCUGUAUGCCAUAGCUAUCUGGGACAAACCUGAUCACGUGGUCAAGUAGAUUUCCUCAAGGUUAUAUAUUAAGUCAGCAGCUCAAACAAAUCAGAACUCAAGGUGCUUUUAGUAAAGUCCAACCCAAGAAAGAACGAUACAGCAAAAACUGCUUCAUUUUUAGUAUCACCUAUUUUCCACUCAGUGCUUUCCCUUUCCUUCUGUUAUUUUAACAUAUGAACACUGGGACACAUGGGACUUGGAUAUAUGUAAGAAGGGAAACCAGCAACUGAGAGUCUAAGUUAGGUACUGAUAGCAGUUAGGUCAAUAGCAAGAAGGGAAGGCAUGUACAUGGGUUCACAGUUAGUUUAAAACAUUCAAUCAGACCUAGCCAGGUAUUCAGACCAAACAGUCAAGUAAGGCUUAGGUGAACAAAUCCAGGGAGAUAUUUGGGAAACAAACAAACAAACAACAACAAAACCAAGACAAACAGGAUGAUCUGGAAUAAGUAAACAACAAACUAUCAUGUUUAUACAUGACAGACACAGUUUUUAUGUGUCAAUUAUUCUUUAAUAAAGAUGAGAGGAGGGAGAAAGAAAAUUUACCAAACUUUGUACACAAAUGUUAAUAGCAACAUUAUUCAUAAUAGCCAACAAAUGGAAACAACCCAAAUGUCUACCAACUGCUGGAACAAAGCUAUAUCCAUACAAUUAAGUAUUAUUUGAUGAUAAAAAGAAAUGCUGAUACAGAAUGGAUUAACCUCGAAACACUGUGCUACAUACAAGAAAAUGGUCAUAAAAGGCUGCAUAAUGUCUGAUAUCAUUUACAUGAAAUGUGCAGAAUAGGCAAAUCUAUAGAGAAAGUAGAUUGGUGGGUACUAGGGCCUGGGGUGGGCUGAUGGGAGUGGUGGGAACAGUGACUGCUAGUAAGUAUGGAGUUUUGUUCUGGAUUAUGAAAAUCUUCUGAAACUAGAUAAUGGUGAUGAUUGUACAACUCCAUGAAUAUAGUAAAACCACUGAACUGUUCACUUUAGAAAAGUUACAAAAAUUGCAUUUUAUGGCAUGUAAAUUAUAUAUAUCAAUAAAGCUAUUUUACAAAGGGGAAACAAAGAAGAAAAUAGGCUCUUGAAAGUGACAACAGCCCAUUGCUUGAAACAAAGGUGUGAUUAAAUGGUUUUUGCUAGUGCAGAAAAAGGGCAUCCUGGUGUUGAACUUGGGGUUUGCGGGUAGAUGUUGGUACUACUCUUGACUGAGGUAGGGAGUGUGUGGUCCAGAGAGGGCAGAUCAGACACACGGUACACUGUGUACUCACAUCUAGUCAUUCAAAAGCACAUGUUUCCUGAGUGCCUACUAUGUGCCCAGUACAGUGCCAUAUUGUGCCAUAUUCUUGCCUGUUAGAAACAAAGACUUUGCACUCUUGAAAGUUUUGUACUAGUGCAGGAAAUAUGAUAAAGGAAUGAAGGUGUAAGGUGAAAUCCAGUCAGUACUCAUCGGUACUUCAGGGUUAUAGGAGAGAGAGUCGUGAUAGUGCCACAAAGUAUGGUGGCCUGGGAGGGCUUUUCAAAGGUGUCAUUGUAACACUCAAGUAUAAUGAACAAGUAUAAUACUGCCAAUCUUGUUACCUCCGGUGUAUGGGAGAAUACUUCUAGUCCAUGGUUUAUUAGUUAUUUUACCCUUUGGAAAUCCUUUCUCUCUGGUCUUUAGGAUGACAAACAGCUAAACUGACUAGAUGUUCCAUUUAAUAGUAAAAUAUUCAUGAUAUCCUUCAAACCACCUCCAUAGAUAGUGAUUCUUGGUAUUCUUUCUUUUUCUAUAUAUCACUAGAUCAUAAUUAUCACUUGAGAGAAGGCAAUUGGUAAGUAAAAAUUAGGAUUGAAAUACAAAGGAAUUAACGAAGAGGAUGGUAACAAUAGCGAACUUUACUGGGAUUAACUAAAUCUAAGACAGUGUGAGUUUCCCAACCUUUAUCUUGCUCCCUCAACUGUUACUUCUAAAGAAAGAGGAAAAGAACUGUAUUAGUCAGGUUCAGGCAGAGAAAUAGAAACCAUCUUGAGUAUCUAUAGUAUCUAACAGGGACCCUAAUGCUGGGAAUGAGGAACACAAGUAAUAGGGAAGCAGAAAGCCAAAUGAAGCCGCAAAGGCAUCUGGGAGCUUGCCCACAGGUUAGCCGCCACACCCUUCACCUGGAAGGAGAUGGUAUCAACCAUGUGCAGAAGGUGAAAUCACCUGACCAAAGCUGGAAUUAUGGUGGGCUUGUUUGCCAAGAGGUGGAACCAUAUAGAAAAUGUAGCUGUUGCCAGAAUCACGGGCACAAUUAGGGGUGUAAAGGGAUGGAUAAAAUGCUUUGAAUUCUCCUUGAAACCCCUGCCUUCUAACUAGCAUAGUGCUUCCCAUGGGUGAAACCCAGCCAGAAGCUUAUAAAAGCCUGAGGAAGGUAUCCUACAGGACAUAUCCUCUGUGAUACAGAGAGGAAGAAUAGGGUAGGGUGGGGGAGCCAUCUGAAGGCAUAUAGGGUCAGAACUGUGAGAGAAGAUGUAAGAAUGCCCUCAAAUGUCCUUCCGUGAGCCAAGUCCCUCAAAUGUCCUUACCAUGAGCCAAGUCCUGCGUUAGGUCCUCUCACAAACACAUUCUCAUUUAGUCAUCACAGCUGUGUUUCUUUGAAGAUGAGAAUGAUUAUCAACUUCUUAAAGGUGAAAAACCCAGAAUCAGAGGGUUUUUGGAAUCUGUUCAUGGUAAGUCACUAAGUAUAGUGAAGUCAGGAUUCAAACCCAUCUCACCCAAAUUGUUAACCUUCUCUUUCUACUGUAUUCUUGUCCCCUCUGGAGAUUAGUGUGGGGCAACAUCUUCUGCUGAGUUUCCCUUUUCACCUCUCCUGCAGUCCCCAGGUAACUUGUGCAGAGCACAGGUAGAGUCUUUGUAUUCCAUCCUAAGUCUAGAGGACAAGGAAAUACAAUCUUAGAUUCUAACUGAAUGUCAUUUCACAUAUAAUUGUUGAGGUUUGAAAAAUGACAGUGUUGAAAUCGUUUCUGUUGAGUAGAUUUGAAUACUCUCUUCUCUACUGCAAAGAUGAGCUUAGAUACCCAAGGCCACAUUUUCAGACACCAAGAAUGAUUUUCAGGGGUGGAGGUGUUUGCUUCAGGCAAUGAGGUAAGAGCUAAAAGAGCCAGGGUGGGGCUUUUCCUCCCCAGAUCUCAGGUGGAGCUUCUAGGUUGACAGCAAAGUCCUCCUUUCAUUUAUAAAUGGACUAUAUUUGCUCUGGAAGUAUCUGGGAGGAUAAAUAUGGGAUCCCACAGAAGCCACAAUGUUAUUUUUGCAGAGUCUUUCCUCAUUAUAACUUCAGCUCAAGUAUCUUCUUUUUUUCUUUCUCAACCUCUUUUUUUCUCAUGUGUGAAAUGCAUUCACGUAUAUGAUUGUGUGUAUGAAUUCACACAUAGAUACUCUUUCUAAUUAAGAAUUCUGAAAAAAUACAAAGGCUGAUCAUCUCUUCAAACCUUACCUGACACAAAGAUGUUUGGUGUUACUUUUCCUAGUUUUUUUUUUUUUUUUGUUUUCUACCACAGGUGAUGAGACUGUCCUAAAAUGUGGUUCAAAUGUGGUCAAAUUCUAUCUUGAAAAAAUACUGAAUUCUAAAGGAGGUACUGCCACAGUCCGGCUGCAGCAAAAUAGCCAGGGGUGUGGGGGGUGACGAAGAACUUGUGUAGAUUGAUACAGCAGGAGUGGGAGCCAUUUAUUGUAGGACCGGAGCAGUAUUUAUACAUUCCACACAGCUUAUCUUAAUUAGCAUAAACUAGAUACAUUAGUCAACCAAUCAGGAAUCUCCACACUUAAUGGCUCCCUGGCGUUACUUCACAAACCACUCCCACUGGCAAAAUACCAGGCGCCAUCCAGACUUGUUUACAGACUCUAACAAGGUACAAAUUAAAUAAUGACUAUGUGAUGUUAAUGACCAUGUAAUUAUUUUAAAAAACAUUUGAUAGCAUGUGUCACUUUGCUAUUAAUUAGAUGCAUACUAAUUUUGUCUUGAGAGAUAUCAGAACAUGAAUGAGAUUGGGGCAAAGAUGCUUAGCCUCAAUUUAAGUUCCACUUUAUUAAUAAGCAAAGCUUUAGGUACCCUUCAGUGGCAGGCAGAAUAAUGGGCUAUAAAGGGUGUCUGUCUUCUAAUCCUUAGACUCUGUGAAUCUAUUUGAACACAUGGAAAAAGGGAAAUUAAGGUUGUAGAUGGAAUUAAGAUUGCUAAUCAACAUGAGUUUAAAAUAAAGAUUUUAUCCAGGUGAAUUCAGUGCAAUCACAGGGCCCUUACCUAUGGACAAGGAAGGAAGAGGAGUCUGUGUAAGAGUGACAAGAUGUAAAAAAUGACUGAUUGAUGGUUGAUAACUUUAGAGAUGGAAAGAAGAAACAAGCCAAGGAUGGUGGGUAAUCUCUAGCAGCUAGAAGAGGGAGGCAAACAGAUUUCUCUCCUAGAACCUCCAAAAAAGACACUAUGUUAGCUUAGUCAUACUCAUGUUGGAAUUGUGACCUGCAGAACUAUAAGAUAAUAAAUGUUAUUGUUUUAAGCUAUUGAAAUUGUGGCAAUUUAUUACAGCAUCUAAGGAAAAGUAAUACGUCUUUUAACUCAGGUUAGGCCUCUAGAAAACCAUCAAAAAAACAGCUUAAAAAUAACAAUGUCUGUAUAUUAUAGAACAAGUGAUAUUAGUGUUUAUAACAAAAAGGUCUAAAAAUUUUAUGGCUUCAUAUAAUUAAAAUUUACCACUUGUUCCAAAUAAUUCAGACAAAUAUUUCUAGUCUGGUUACUUUCCUUAUGAUCAUUCCAAGUUCAGCCUUCUUCCAUCUUGUGGUUCCAAUUUCCUCCAUGACUUUAGAAUUCUUCCCAUUCACUGAAGGAAAGAGUGUUUGGAAGAUUGUGUGGAAGUAUUUGAUAAACCUGGCCCGGAAAUGGAACAUUGCUUCCACCCACAUUCUGUUGCCGGAGCUCAGGUGAAUGGACAUACCUAAAUUCAAGAAAGGCCAUGAAAUGUAGUUGAGCCAUGUUUCCUUAAAGGAAAGAAAAUUUGGAAUUUGACUAAAGCAUAGCAAUCUCAUCCACAAUUGAGCAAGGACAUUUUUUCUUAAAAUAUAAAAACACAAAGACAAGGUAAAAAUAAUUAACAAAUUCCAUUUCUAAGUAAAGUCAAAUAAAAGUAAAAAGUAUAGUAGGUAAGCAGUCAUUAGGUCCAAUUUGAAUCAUUUACUCCGCCACUGAAUAAUUUCUGAAAAAUUACUUAAUGUCUCUGGACCUUAAUUUUCUCAUAUUACAGAAAUAAAAAUAUGCCUACCUCAAUCUUUUUCUUUUUGUUCUAUCUUUAAUACUUUUCAGAUUUUUAUUAAAGAGUGGAAAGAUGAGAAACAACAGUUUGUUUGUUUGUUUGCAGGUACAUGUCAGAGAAUGUGUUUAUUUUAGAACGAUUUUUUAUUAAUUUUCCCCAAAUUUAAUUUGCUAAUUUACAAAGGUAUUGUUUCUUUUUAUUAGGUUCCCUAUAUGGACAAGCGAUUUUUAUAGCUUAAGUAUAGCCCAGCAGUUUCAUAUAGAUAAACCUAAUUGAUUACAGUAAAAUAAUAUUUUGGCCCCUUUUGUAUAACCCAGAAAUGAGAUAGGAGGCUCUUUAUGAUUACUCAAAGUCUUCACUGUUAGUUUCCAACAUGAUAUUUUAUUUUCUUCUUAGUAUUUUGCAAUUUUGUAAUUUAUAUGUUUAUUUGCUUGCUUAACCUAUUUCUAGACGACCAUAAACUUCAUGGGAGAGGAUGCUUUAUUUCACUCAUUACACUAACCAACACCUAGCAGAGUUCUGAAUUACUAGCUUGAUACUUAUUUGUUGAAUGUGAAAAUAGAGUCACUCCAAGAUUGAUUAUAAAACUGAUGUGACAAUAUAAUGUAUCUUUUAAUAAGACAUUGGAAAUAAAUUGCAUAUAUUCCAGAUAGUAUCUUUCAAUUGUUUUACUUUGAUUUUUAUGAAAUUCAGGAUUAGUUUUAAUUUUUAUGAAAUUCAGGAUUAGUUUUACUUAAUUUUGAAUGACAACUAAAAAUACCAUCUCAUUGGAGUACCUUGAAAAAGCAGUGCCUGGCCUUCUAUAUAUGCUUUAGUCUGAAUUAUUUUGGAGAGCUACAGACUGAAAUUUUGGAAUCCACGAUUCAGUAUAACCAGGAGUAACAUAGUUGGGAAGGACAUGGAUCCUACUCAAUCUGUUUUUACCCCAAAGCUCCAAGACUGGUACAAAUUUAUUCAAUUUCUAACAUCUUUUUAUAAGAAGAGUCCACACUCAACAUUUGAAACCACUACCAACAUAUAUCACAUAUAAUGUUCCCUGUCUGAGUUAAACCAUUUUGCUUAGGUCUACUUCCUCUUGUUGGGAAGUGAAAAUAGAUAGGAUCUCAUCUUUUGGGUGAGAAAAUUAUUCAGUGCCCAGAAAACCAUCUUUCAAUUAUCACUAAUCCUCAUUAUCCCUCCUUCGUGUGGUUUUGAGAUGUUUUAUACUAAUCUUGAAAAAUAUCCCAUCUCCAGGCAAAACUGAUAGUAAAACAGCAACCCUGAUGUUGGUGUGCAUGUUAAGACAUUGUUCUGACUCAAAGAAUCGGAAUGUAGUUUACUAUGUGGGAUAAACCCUGUGAAAACACCUCCAUGAUCAAAAUAAAAGAUGAAAAAGAAGAAUACACUUGGGCCUCAGGGAGAGAAUUAGAUCUGAUGGUAUCGGGUGCAAAUGUAAUUUUUUUUUUUAAGUCUUGUGAGCAUUUUUAUGAGCAACAACAGGACAGGACAAGAAUAAAGUAGCCAGAGAGAAUUGCACUUGAAAAUGUUCCUGCCCAUUGGCUCAAAUAAAUAAUAAAAAAUAUGACCCUUGGGUAGAAUUUUUAUUUCUUUAUUUUAUCUAUUAAUCACUCACUUCUUUCCAAACUUCAUUUUUGCUUUUCUUUUUCUUUUUUAACUUCUGCAUUCUCUGGGUUGCUGCUGCUACAACAGAUGUUGCCACUUGGCAUUCGAAUAUCAAGAAACAGCCAGCCAAGGAGGAAGAGGGGACCCCUGAAGCCUUGUUUAUCUAUAACUCAGCUUGUGAUAACAUUUUCAAGAGAAGAUUGCCUGCCAAACUAAUUCAGAAAAGGUGGUCAUAAUGUUUUCUACUGUCAGAGACAAUGUCAUGUAAAUAUAGCAUUGUGUACAAGAUAAAAUAAGAAAAAAAGAUAUCCCCUGGGAGAUGGGGCAGCAACGGGGUGCUGUGUGGAGCAGCCCUAGUAAUGUGAAGGAGUCAAGACAAAACUUGUUUCUGCUCUGGAAGAAGAGAGCUUUCUUGAUGCAAUUUUCUUUCCAUUUCUUGAUGGAAACUUUCUUUCCAUCUUCUGUGAUAUUGUCUUUUCCUAGGCAGGAGGCUUUCCUACCUACUCUGUUUUAAUCUAUGGUUAAUUGUCUGCCAUUAGCCCAUGAGAACCUUGGGUAAAAUCCCCUCCUUACCCCUGUCUUAUGAGCUGUCUACAUUCUCACUUGUAGAAAAUAAACCACUCUCUACCCUCUAGCUAUCAUUUCAACUCUGGAUCUCAUAUUUCCAAUUGCCAUUUAGAAUUCUCCAUAGAGAUUUGCAUUGUGAUUUGUUGUAGGGUGGAAUUCAUAGGAAUGAUCCACUUCUCUCAUCUAGAGAGCAAACAAAACACACUGGUAACAAUCUGUGCCCUGGGGUAGAUGUUCCUGUAUCUUUUAUAGAAUCUCAGUGUAAGUAUUCUGUUCGCAGGGAAUUCCCAAUGUGAGUUUUGCCUAGUAUAUAGUCACAUGAAUUAAUGUGGCAAAACACUAACUAUAUCAUAGAUUCUAGGAGAUAAUUAUUAAUAUUUUAUAGCAAGCAAUUUAGAGUGACUAGAGCUGGGUUGAUGAGUGACAAACAGAAAUUAGAAUUCCUUGGCUCCCAGUUUGUUUUUAUCUUCUUAGGGUUUGCUCUGCCUCAUUUUCUUGAGCCAGUCAGUCACUGGCUAAGAGUUGCCUGUGGGCCUUCUUGCUCUUCCAGGCAAAGGCUCAGGAACACUCUUGUAGAAAUCCAAAGAGAGUUAUUGGAGUGAGCUGUCAGAAGCAAAAACAUGGAGAGGCAAGGGGAGGGUCAUACAGAAUGGUUAAUGCUGACAACAUCCACUGCACCAAGAGAAAAUUUGGUGUCUUAUAAAACAUAGUACUAAUAUAAAUCUGAUAUUGUCUUGGAAAUUCCUGUAAAAUUUGAAAUAAACUGAUACUUUCAGAAUAACACUGUCUCUGUUCAAGACUUAGAUCUCACACUGUUUCUAAGAACACUUCUGUUGACUCCUUACUCAGGUCCCUCAGCUGUGCAUGCAGCUUGGACAUUUCACUUGGUGACAAAGUUGGCAAUAGAAUGGCAUACUGAGGGGCACUUAGGGCAAACGACAUUGCACUAGAGGGGUAAUUUGGCAGAGAGAGUCUUAUACUUCCUUUCUGUUCCCAGAAUACUGAUUUUUAACUGGGCCUCUGAUAGAUAACAAGAGAUACCUGAGAAAUUCUUAACAACAACAAAACCUCCCAAACCUGGAUCUACUUUCAUGUCAAAAAAUUAGAAAAGGUAUAGAGAAACAAUACUUUUUGCUUGUUUAUUCUAAAAUAAGAAAAUUUGAAAACACCAAUAAUAUUGUACUUCAAAAUAGCAUCCUUACCUACUUAUUUCAGCAAAGUAGUCAUUCCUUAAUUGCCUCCAGGGAUAGCUAUGAGUUAGAUGAGACAACCCUUAUUUAUUUAUUUAUUUAUUUAUUUAUUUAUUUAUUUAUUGGUGCUUAACACUGAAUCACACCCCCAGCCCUUUUUAAUUUUUAUUUUGAGACAGGGUCUCACUAAAGUUGCUUUGGGCCUUGCUAAUUUGCUGAGGCUGGCUUUGAACUUGCAAUCCUCCUGUAUCCUCCUGGGAGUUGCUGGGAGUCACCAUGCCUGGCAAGACAACCAAUAUUUUUACAUUAAAGUUAUACUUUGCUCAGUCUCAGAAGUGUGAGAUGCAAUUUAGUUAUUUUACUUACCAGAAUUUACUCAGAAUGGUUUUAAUUAUUUACAAACAUUAAAAACAUUAAAGGUGAUUACCUUUAAGCGAUAAAAUAUAUCCCACCACUGGCAGCUUUAUUUAGAAGGCAUGGUAUAAGAAAUGUUAUCAUUCUAGGUAUAAAAAGCCCUGAGGUACUAAGGUGGAAUUACUUGGAUAUUUCAUGUGAAUGCAGAUUUUUUUUUUUUUUUUGCCAAAUUAUUCAGAUAUUUUACUGAUUUUUUUUCUGUAGUGCAUAGUGUGUUCAAACUUUGUUAUGGUUAGGGUAUCUUAGCAGAUACUCAGAUUUUUUUUUCAGUAUUAUGGCCUAAAAAUAAUCACAUAAAUUAUAUAACAUAAGGGAUCAAAUCUUUGAAGAAUGUGGCAGAAGCACAAUUUAAGUCAGAGUUCCCUUUAAAGUCUAUGCUUUCAUAUUUAUAGAAAUAUAAUACUGUUUUUGGGUUGCUGUGGUCAAAUAACCAGAGCUGGGAAUGAUGAAGUAGGGGUUAAAUAUGCUCCUUGCAUUUGUGACCAUUGUACAAAUCUAUUGUGAGUUAACUGUUUCUGCUAUGCAGUAAUUAAUGCAUUUUGUGUAUUUUCCAGUUACAUAAGAACAAACUUCAUUUUUAAAAUGCUAAACAUAGUUAAACCUUGGGCUGGAAGUCAAGCUCAGUGACAAGGUACUUGCCUUGAAUGCUUGCAUAUGUGAGCCCUGGGUUUGAACAUCUCAAGCAUCACCAAAAAACAAAGACUAAAAGAAUUUUUAAAAAAAGGGACAGAAGCAAAAUUCCUUGUGGUCUGUGAUUCAAAUUUACAGAAAGACUUGCUCAGGUGAGCAAGAAAAGAGCACACAGAACUUUUAAAAAUAAAAGUAGUUUUCUUUAAUUUCUGCUGCCAAAUUCUUGAAACACUUCUCUACAUCAUAGGGAACAGAAGAAUUUCAUUUGACUAAAGGAAAAAUAAUUCUGAUGUUGUAUCACAGAAUAUUUCAGAAUUAUAUAUAUUUUUAAAAUCCCAAUGACAUUCUUUAUAGAACUAGAAAAAGCAAUCAUAAAAUUCAUUUGGAAAAAUAAGAGGUUCAGAAUAGCCAAAGUAAUCCUUAGCAAGAAGAGUGAAACAGGAGGCAUCACAAUACCAGACAUUAAACUAUACUGCAGAGCAAUAGUAACAAAAAUGGCAUGGUAUUUGCACCAAAAUAGACAUGCAAACAAAUGAGAGACAAACCCACAUAAAUAUGGUUAUUCUCUCACUUUAAAAGUACAUUAUUAGGUUGUUCUUCACUUUUCUUGUCUCCAGGCUGUGUAAUCUUUCACUUUAAACUUAUCCUUCAGGUGUAAAGUUUUCACUUUUUUAACAAUCUUUUGCUUUAACACGAGUGAAAUUUAAAAAAAAAUAAAAUUUGGUUUAAAUUAAUAUGCACCAAAUUAUUGUUAAUAGAGAACUGACAUUACUUAUCUUUCUGCAUCUUCUGGUAGCAUUUUCUAGAAAGCUGGCCAAGAUUAGAAAGAACACUGUGUCCAUAAGCCAGUGAAAAAAUAAUUAACUAAGCAGGGACUAAAGUCAUAAUUGUGUGUGUGUGUGUUUGUGUAUGUGUGUUUGUGCUGUGUCUACUAAAAUAAAGUACUGAGUGACCAAAAGUCCUGGCAAGAACAAUUAAAGGAGGAAUAGUUUAUCGGGGGCUCACAGGUUCAGCAGUCUCAAUUCUUAGACAGCUGGUUCCAUUCCUUGGGGUGUGAGACGAGGCAGAACAUCAUGGCAGAAGGGUGUGGAUGGGGAAAGCUGCUGGGAACUUGGCACCCAGGAAGCAGAAAUAGAGAUCCACUCUUCAGGGACAAAGUAUGUACCCCAAAGGCAAGCCUCCAAUGACCCACCUCCUCCAGCCACACCCUACUUGCCUUCAGUCACCACCCAGUUAAUAACUAUCAGGGGAUUAAUGCACUGAUUAAGACUCUUAUACCCCAAUCAUUUCACCUCUAAGCUUUCUUGCACUUCUCACUCAUGAGCUUUGGGGGGAAUUUAAUAUAUAAAUGAUAACAAUGUGAAAGAAGAGUUAUUUGAGGAGGAGAAGGGAGGAGUGGAGGAAUCUAUGGAGGAAUCUUUUAGGAAAUAGAUACAGUACGCUUAUUCCCAUCUGUGGAGCUGAAGCUAUGAAAAGUUACUGGCAGGCAGAGUGUGUGUCUGUGCUGAUGGACGUGCUCGUUAGAAUGGAAAUAUCAAUAGAAACAAAGUGACUGAAGAGAUGAGAGUAUCAGGGAUCCAGGUGGAGGGUCUGGAUUUUGGUAAAGAGUUGAAAGUUCAAUUCAAUGUAACCAAAGAAAUGCAGAGUUCAGGUAAUGAUGGGAAAGUCAGGGGAGUAGGCGAUGUCAGGGUAGAGGAAAAGACACUGACUAGCCAUUUGGGAGGAUAGGAGAGGGAAUAAACUAGGCAUGUGUGGUAGGAAUGCCCAUUCAAUGCUAGUGAUCAGGAAUAUAAAAAUAUAAAGUGGGAUCAAUCAGUAUAGUCCUAGGGUGGCCAGGGAAGUCUAGUUUAAGUUGUUAAUGUUUUCUGUAUUAUCAUUUGAGAGCUAUUUCUCUUUGCUCAUUGGUUGUUUGGAUAACCCCAGGGUUUGCUCCAAGCCUAUUGCUGUCUGGAAUCACAGCCUUGGACUGUGGCAGCUGAUAAGAGAUAACAGAAACUGUAGAAGGUGUCUGGAGAAGAGAGAAGUGGUUUUUCUCUUAGCUUGAGUGUGUUCCCUACAAGUUGAAGAUAAGAGAGCUGGGGGAGGCCAGUUUACAGGUCAACAAGCAGGAAGAAAGGGCCUUGGGAUGAAUAGCCAACCCCAUCUUAUCCUAGACAGUAAGGCUCCAUCCUAUUGUUGAUUCUGGGAGUAAAAUGGUUUCCUUGGUUACCAGAGCCUGCUUAUUCAGUCAGGCCAAAAGCAAGUAAGCCAUGGCAGGUCUACAAGCUUUUCUUAACAUCUUUAAUAUCACUCUCUUUUUCCAUCUAGGUGCAUUAUUACUACUCUUAUUUCCCAUAAUUACUUAUUUUCUUCUAUGUUCAGCCCCGAAAUUGGGAGUCUUCUCUCAGGCAUGUCUUGGCUCUCUUCUCUGAUCAGUUUACACUCACAUUCCUACAACCCAUUUUCUAGUUCUCUCUUGAGCUUCCACCCUGUAUUUCCAUAUAGUGUCUGGAAAUUUCCAUGGAUAUAAACAUCAAAACUUCAAAUUCAGAAUGUUCAAAAUCAAAAUAUUUGCUCUCUCACUCCUGGGUCCUCUACACUGGACAGUAGAAUUACCACUUUCAGAACCUUCUAAACUGGAAGCUUCAGAAUUUCAUUACUUCAUGCUUUUCAUUCUCUGUUAUGUCCAUUUGGGUCCCAAGAACUACCCACCCAUGUAUUCACCAUUAUUUUUUACUCAUCUUCUUUUCUCCAUCCCCACUUUCCUCAGCAGCAAUACCAUCUCUCUCAAGGACUCCUUAUAGCUUCUUAACCCAGCUCCCCAGCUCUUGUCUCUCUCUGCUCUGGUCUUUAUGGCCAAAACCUAUCCUGUCAUUCAUGGUGUUCUGCUGCAGCUGAAUAAAAUCCAAACCAACAUGGCACUUGUGAUCUCCAAUCAGCUAUCUGUGGUCUUUCCAGGCUUAUUUUCUAUGCUAUAUGUAUCUUCACCACAUUAAUUGUAAAAAUAAAAACUGUGUCUCUUCCAUGUUCUCUUUCCUCUGUAUCUUUCCUCAUGUCAUUCCUUCAACAAUGGCUUUCUUCUUCUCUCCUACUCUGUUCCCAAUUAAAUAUUCCUGAUCCCUGGGAUAAACUGCAGAUGGCAUUACAACAUAUUAUUUCCAUCUGUAUGUAAAAUAUAAAUAUAUAAAAUGCCUAAAACAUGGCAAAUCAUGUAAUAGGCUUGAAAACAUAAUACAACUGCAACUAGGAUAUCAAUGAUUUCUUCUUUCAAUGUGUCCGGUUGAAAUAAGCAUGUGCAACAUUUCACAAGGUUCUUAUCCCAGUGGUGAAUGAAUCAGAAACGAUCCCACCAAUGAGGUGAUUUUUUAUUUGAACUCUUAAGAGGACUUAGUUGUGUUCUCUUAUUGAUGCUCUGAUAAUAUUUUUAUAAAAGGACUAAAUUAUUUUUGUUCAGAGUUGCCAAAUUAAAUCUACAGAAUCCAUAAAAAAGAUAAAUUUGGUCCAAAGCUUGAAGGCUUGACUCUCUUACAUUUUUCCAAGAAGAAAUCUGGUAGUUGUAUUAUGUUGAUCAUUCCAUGAGUUAUAGCUUUCUUUUUCUUAUCUAUAUCUCCCCAAAUUUUCCUUAAUAUGCUAGUAUUUUUUAUAAUUUGGAAAUGUAUGUAUGUGUCUGUGUAAUUGUAUAGAUAAUGUUUUGUAUUAGUCAGUGAUAGCUGCCUUUACACAAGACUGGGUGGUUUAAACAACAAAAUUUAUUUCUCAUAGUUCUGGAAGUUGAAAGUCCGAGAUCGAGGUGCUAGUAGGCACAUGUCUUCUGAGGCCUCUCUCCUCAGCUUCCAGACACAUUGCCACUGUAUCCUCUUAUGGUCUUUUUCCUGUGCAGGAGUGUCCCUGGUGUCUCCCUCCCCUCUUAUAAGAACACCAGUCGCAUUGGAUUAGGGCCCCAGCCUUAUUACCUCCUUAGUGGUCUAAUCUCUAAAUAUAGGCACAUUAGGGGCACAUAUGAAUUUGGGGCUGGGGACAGACACAAUUCAGUCCAUAGUAUUUAUGGAAACCUAUAUUAAACAUAUUUAUGGAAACUUAAAAAUGACAAGAUAUAUCAAUAGGAAUCUCAGUUUUCUUUGCUAAUCUAAACAUAAGGGUUUUGGAAUAAGAAAAUGUAAAUUGUUACUAGAGGCUUAUGUGUUAAACUCGAAAGUUCACUUCUUUAAUUUUUUUAUUUGUUCUUUUUAGUUAUAUAUUACAAUAGAAUGUAUUUUGACAUGUAAUACAUACAUGGAGUAUAACUUCCCAUUCUUGUGGUUGUAUAUUAUGAAGAGUUACACUGGUCAUGUAUUCAUAUAUGAAUACAGAAAAGUUACAUCCAAUUCAUUCUACUGCCUUUCCCAUUCCCAUCCUCCCCUCUUCCCCCCAUUCUCCCUGUCCAAUUCAGUGAACUUCCACUCCUUCAUCCCCGCCCUGCCUAUUCUGAGUCAGCAUCCACAUAUCAGAGAGAACAUUCAGCCUUGGGUUUUUUGGGAUUGGCUUAUUUCACUUAGCAUGAUAGUCUCCAGAUCCAUCCAUUUACUGGCAAAUGCCAUAAUUACAUUAUUCUUUAUGGCUGAGUAAUAUUCCAUUGUGUAUAUACACCACUUUUUCUUUAUCCAUUCAUUUGUUGAGGGGCAUUUAGGUUGGUUCCAUAGCUUUGCUGUUGUGAAUUGAGCUGCUAUAAACAUUGAUGUGGCUGUGUCACUGUGGUAUGCUGAUAACUGGGUCAAAUCAUUCCAAGUUUUCUAAGGAACCUCCAUAGUGCUUUCCAGAAUGGUUACACAAAUUUUUAGGCCCACUAACAAUGUAUGAGUAUACCUUUUCUCCCCCAUCCUCGCCAACAUUUAUUGUUACUUGUAUUCUUGGUAAUUGCUAUUCUGACUGGAAUGAGAGGAACUCUCAAUGGAGUUUUAAUUUGAAUUUCUCUAAUGGCUAACAUUUUUACAUAUAUUUGUUAACCAUUCCUACUUCUUCUGUGAAGUGUCUUUUCAGUACCUUAGCCUAUUUAUUGAUUAGGUUAUUUGUUUUUUUUUGGUGUUAAGUUUUUUGAGUUCUCUGUAUAACCUGGAGAGUAAUGCUCUGAGAUGCAGGUGGAAAAGAUUUUCUCCCAUUAUGUAGAUUCUCUUUUCAUGUUCUUGAUUGUUUCCUUUGCUGUGAAGAAGCUUUUUAGUUUGAUAUCAUCCCAUUUAUUUAUUCUUGAUUUUAUUUGUUGCACUUUGGGAGUCUUGUUGAGGAAUUUGGUUCCUAAGCUGACAUAUUGAAGAGUUGGGCCUGCUCUUUCUUCUAGUAGGUGCAGGGUCUCUGUUAUAAUGCUUAGGCCUUGAUCCACUUUAAGUUGAGUUUUGUGCAGGGUGAGAGAUAGGGGUUCAACUUCAUUUUGCUAACAUGGAUUUGCAGUUUUUCCCAGCACCAGUUGAAGAGGCUAUCAUUUUUUCAAUGUAUGUUUAUGGUGCCUUUGUUUAGUAUGAGAUAACUGUACUUACGUGGGUUUGUCUUUGUCUUAUAUUCUGUACCAUGGGUCUUCACAUCUGUUUUAGUGCCAAUACCAUGCUGUUUUUGUUACUGUAGCUCUGUAGUAUAAUUUAAAGUCUGGUAUUGUGAUGGCUCUGCUUCACUUUUCUUUCUGAGAAUUGCUUUGGCUUUUCUGGGCCUCUUAUUUUUCCAAAUGAAUUCCAUGGCUGCUUUUUCUAUUUCUAUGAAGAAUGUCAUCAGAACCUUAAUAGGAAUUGCAUUGAAUCUGUAUAAUGCUUUUGGUAUUUAAAAACAAUUUUUUUUAGUUGUAGAUGGACACAAAAUCUUUAUUUUUAUUUAUUUAUUUUUAUGUGGUGCUGAGGGUUAAACCCAGGGCCUCACACAUGUGAGGCAUUUGUUCUACCAUUGAGGUACAACCCCAGCCCUAGUAUGACCAUUUUGACAAUGUUAAUUCUGUUUAUCUAAGAACAUGGGAGAUCUUUCAUCUUCUAAGUUCUUCAAUUUUUUUCUUUAGAGUUCUGUAGUUUUCAUUGCAGAGAUCUUUCACCUCUUCUGUUAGGUUGGUUUCCAAGUGUUUUUGUUUUGUUUUGUUUUGUUUUGAGGCUAUUGUGAAUGGGAUAGUUUUCUUAAUUUCUCUUUUAGUCAAUUCAUCACCGAUAUAUAAGAAUGCAAUUGAUUUAUGGGUAUUAAUUUUAUAUCCUGAUACUUUGCUGAAUUUGUUUAUGAGUUCUAGAUGUUUUUUAGUGGAGUUUUUUGAUCUUCUAAAUAUAGAAUCAUAUUUUCAACAAAUAGGGAUAGUUUGAGUUCUUCUUUUUCUAUUUGUAGCCCUUUAAUUUCUUUAUUUUGUCUAAUUGCUUUGACUAGAAUUUUCAGGACCAUGUUCAAUAGAAGUGGUGAAAGAUGGCAUUCCUGUCUUGUUCCAAUUUUUAGAGGGAAUACUUUCAAUUUUUCUCCAUUUAUAAUGAUAUUGACCUUGGGUUUAAUAUAUAUAGCUUUUGUAAUUUUGAGGUAUGUUCCUAUUAUCCCUAGUAUUUCUAGUGUUUUGAAGAUGAAUGGAUGCUGUAUUUUGUCAAAUGCUUUUUCUGCAUCUACUGAGAUAACCAUGUAGUUCUGUCUUUAAGUCUAUUGCUGUGAUGAAUUAUUUUAAUUGAUUUCUAUAUGUUGAAUCAAUUUUGCAUCCUGGGAUGAACCCCAUGAUCAUGGUGCACUAACUUUUUAAUGUUUUUGUCAGUAUUUUAUUAAGAAUUUUUGCAAUUAUGUUUAUGAAAGAAAUUUUCUUGGUGUGCCUAGAAAGUUCAUUUUUGAAUCAUUUCACAUAGAUGAACAAUCACACUGAAAUUUUAUUCUAAUCAUAAUUGUAAAAACUGCCUCCCUACCCCAUUUCCAAGAAAAGGGACAUCAAAAUAUAUCCAUUACGUUCACUGAUUUUGAUCACAAAUUGCAUUGAUACAAAAGGGGGGCCAAGUGUCAGGUCUCAGUGUGGCAGCUGUAGUCAGCUUUUCCCUCCAGUGUCUCGUCCAUCCAGAAAAGCAGUGUCUCCCUUCCAAGAGAUAAUUGCAUAUUGGAUUCAACACAGAAGGAAAAUCCUGUUCUGAUAUGUGUGAAGUGUUGACAUUUCCAAGAGAAAGUCACAAUGUGUUCUUUCCCAGGACUACCCACAUGUUCUGAGUAUGUAAACAGCAGAACAACUGUUCACCUCUCCUUUGACUUCUAAAAGGUAAAGCAAGUGCUCCACACAAGAGAGUUGUGGGUUCGCUUUGUCAUCAAAAAUGGAUGUGUUGAUUACAGAGAUUACAGAAAAGCAAAGUCACAAGUCACACACUGCCUGCUGUUGAGAGGGGAAGCCAGCCAAAAAUCCAGAUAACUAAAGCUCUUAGAGGCAAGCCAGAAAACAAACACCUAUGAUCACACUGGAAAGAGCAGAUUGUACAGCACAGCAUUUGGUUCUUGAACUUGUCACUUUGCUUUGUGAAUAUCCUCAAGUUUGAAAUUUGUGUUGGAGCAGGACAUCAGGGAGGACCAAAUAUGGGCUAAGUUAAUGAUUAAUUAUUAAUCAAGUUCCGGUAUUCAGUACUUAGGAAAAGUUUUUAUAGUUAUCCCUUGGUAUCCUCUCCACACCAAAAUUUGUAGAUGCCCAAGCCUCUUAUAUAAAUGAGGUAGUAUUUGCAUAUUACCUACAUACACCUUCCUGUACAUUUUAUGGCAUCUCUAGAUAACAUCCAAUACAAUGUAAACAGUUGUUGUACUAUAUUGCUUAGGGAGUAAAACAAGUCAAAAAAAAAAAAAAAGCUACGUGUUCAGUACAGAUGCAAACAGUGUGGAUUUAACUACAUUUUCGUUCCUUGAUUGAUCCUGCAGAUGUGGAACCUGUGGAUAUGGAGGGGCAACUGUGUACCAAAAACCCCAAAAUAUUUUGUAAUAUUGUGGGAUUUGCAUGAGAAUAUAAUAAAGGUACUUAAUAAAGACUGUCAAAUCAGUGCACUUAUCAUUGCUAUGGGAUAAGGACAGGUUAUGCUAACAGAUUUUCCCAGCAUCUUCAAACCCCAUUUUAUAGUUAUUUUCAUGCUCUUUCCCUCAAAAAUUUUCUAUGGAUCCAAAAAGUACAAAAUGUGUUGAAUGAUCUAAGUCUCAUCUCCAUUGCUUCCUGUCAGCUCUUUGAGGGGCUAACAAGCAAUAAAAUGCUCUCUGAGCAGGCAUUUGCAAAGGAAGAAACACCAAGAACCAGGACAACCCAAAGGUGAAAAACCACCCACAGUGAACUGUCAAUUAUUUUUGCUGCUUUCUACAAGCUUCCUGCAGUUAUUAGAUUUCUCUGGCCACUUGUCAAAUGGCAUCAAAUGUAACAUUUUCAUUAGGCAUUUCUCAAAAAGUUUUCCUGAGCAACAACUCUUCUUUUUAUAAAUAAAAAACUAUGGAAUCCAUAUUUUCCCUGGAAGAUAAACAUGUGAUUCACUUACCACUGUGCUAUCUCUAAAAUACUUUUGUUUCAGAGUAUGGAUACCACCCUACUCAUUGUCACCAUGUUAUUCUUUAGGUAGCCACUUUCAGGUGAAGAAGUACAGAAUGGGUAGCAGCCAUGGCACGUGGAGGUUUUAAAAGACUCUCACUACCAUGUAAUUUCAAUUUCCAAAAAAAUAUGUAUCUCUUAAUGAUGGGUUCAGUAUUAGUGAAUGUGUAAACACAGCACUUACUGUUCCAGGACAAGGCAUGGUUUUACACUAUGAAAUUAAAUCAUUGAAACAAUAUUUUUCCUUUAGAAAGGAAUUGAGCAAGUAGAAAUGAUCACUGAAGAGGCUGUCAUGUGUCACAGAACUAAAGUAGAAACUAUGAAAAUAUUGCAGCAAAAGAAAGGGAAGUGAAGAACUAACAGUAAUUAAAAAAAAAUCUCUGUUGCUAGAUUUCUCAUUUUAUUUUAGUAAAAGACUUGCUUAAGUAUUAAGGCUGGGGUUAAUUAUAUUUUCUUUAAUACUUUUUUCAUUUUAAACACAAUUUACAGAAUACCAUAUAUCUUCCUGUUAUGAACUGCUGGCCCCUGAAUAUACAAAAAUAAAUUUUAUUUAAUGUCUUCUAUUAGAAUGUAAACUUUGUAAGGCAGGAACUCACAUCUGUCUUGCUCACUGAUCUUUCUCACACUUUGAAUAGUGCUUGUCAUAUGGCAGGCACUCAAUAAGUGUUUAAUGACAGAUAUGCAAGUCUUACUCAUUUUGAUUUAUUAUCUUUAAUCCACACUCUAUGCUACUGUCAAACUGACAUAGCUAGAAAGCAGAUCUGAUCCUUUCAUUGCCCUGAUUGAACGCUUCAAUGGCUUGUCAUCUUUCUUAGAUGAAAACCAAAAUUCCUUAGUAUACCACAUAAAGCUUUUCCUUAUCUGUCCCUUGUUUGACUCCCCAGUCUUCUCAUUUUUUAAUUAAUUAAUUAAUUAAUUAAUUCAACAAAUAUUUUUUAAGUGUCUACUGUGUUCCAAGAACUUUGUUAGAUAUUGAGAACUCAAUGGCAAAUAAAGGAAGUGGGCUCCUCAUUUACCAUUAUUCCAUUAUUGAAGAAACUCAAUGACUGCAUUUAAAAAUGAAUAUGAUCCCCCCCAAAACUAGGAAAUUAACCACCAUUUGACCAGGUUAUACUACUCCUCAGUAUAUAUCCAAAGGAAUAAAAAUCAGCAUAGUAAAGUGAUGCAGCCACAUCAAUAUUUAUAGCAGCUGAAUUCACAAUAGCUAAGCUAUGGAACCAACAUAGGUGCCCUUCAACAGAUGGAUAGAUAAAUAAAAUGUCAUAUAUAUGCAGAAGGGAAUAUCAGUCAGCCAUAAAGAAGAAUGAAAAUAUGGCAUUUUCCAGUAAAUGGAUGGAUCUGGAGACUAUCAUGCAAAGCAAAAUAAGCCAAUCCCCCCAAAACCAAAGGCCAAAUGUUCUGUCUGAUAGGUGGAUGCUAACACACAACAAUGGUGAGGGCAGAGUAGAAAUUCAUUGGAUUAGACAAAGGGGAAUGAAGGGAAGUAGGGAAUGGGAAAGACAGUGGGAUGAAUUGGAUAUAACUUUCUAUGUACAUAUAUGAAUAUACCACAAUGAAUUUCCACAUCAUGUACAACCAUAAGACUGAGAUCCUAAUUAGAAUAAAACAUAUACCAUGUUUAUAUAAAUAUGUCAGAUUAUACUCUAUUGUCAUAUAUAACUAAAAAGAACAAAAAGAAAAAAGAAAAAAAUGAAUCUGAUUCAUAAAUGAGAGCACAAUGAAAAUUUAGAAAAUAUUUGGAACUGAUUGAUAACAAACAAACCAGAACUUGUUGGAUACAGUAAAAGUAGUGCUUGAAAGAAAUGUAGAGCAGUAGAAUGCAUUUAGUGGAACAGGAGAAAGACAAGUUCAUUGGUUAUUGGGGAGAUGAGAUUUAAACCCACAAUGAGGUAUAUUUCACACUUACCAGAAUGUACAAAAUGACAAAAAGGUCAAUGUCCAUUGUUGGUAACAAUGGGGAGCAACUUGAAUUCUACCAUGUUGUUGCUGUAAUAUGUAAAACCACGUUAGCAAACUGGCAGUGUUUGCCCAAACUUGUGAUACAGUCAUUAACCAACUAUUGUGACCAAAUGUUCAGAACGAUUCCUUUCUUGCUCUCUGCUUUGGCUUGACCAGAUUUUAGUUAGGCUUCUCUCUAUCCUACUGGUCCCACAAUUUUGGCUUACCUUUCUAAGCAAAUGUCCUAAGGUGCAGAAUAUGAUCCCUUUUACAGCUCACCCUGAGAAACAGCUGACUGCAGGUGAAAACCCUUCUGAUUUUUCCACCUACUCACCUCCACCUUGUUCCCUGCUCCCUAUAAGGGACCUGCUAGUUCCUCUCCUUCCCUCUCCUUUUCUGUCUGAUUUUGAAUCGUGUACAGAUUGCUGAGAUUGGAUUAUUCUCCCCAUUACAAUAGUCUUUUCCACUAAGUCUAAGUGUGACUUUGUUUUUUAUUUGACAUCAUGAAAUAGAAUACCAUAUAGAAGUGAGAAUAAAUGAAUCACAACUAUAUGUAACAACAUGGACAAAUCUCACAAAUAAAGGCAACACUUAAUUGUAAAUAUGCAGCAUAAUUUCAUUUAUAUAAAGUUCACAACAGGAAAAAACUAUUUUGUUGGAAAUAAGGAUAGUGAUUCCAUGUAGAGAAAGUUGCUGGAAGGGGACCAUAGGAGGUUUGUGGGUGCUGAUAAUAUCCUGUUUCUUAAUCUGUAUUCCUGUUACAUGGGAUGUAUUCAAUUUGUGAAGAGUCAUCUAGAGAAAGAUGUAUAAUUUGGGAAAUUUUACAUGUGUCUUACUUCAAUAAAAAUUUACUUAAAGGUGGAAUCAUCUGGAAUCACAAUUUAUUUGUGAUUUUAUCAAAGAAACUUGUAUGAAACAAAAAAUGAAAGGAGUUAAUGGUUUCUAACUAGCAAAUGAAUUCCCAUCACAUGUAUAUGUGAUUUAAAUAGUAAUGGAAUCAGAGAAUAAGCCCACAGAUAAAAGGUUGAUUAUCAAGAUACUCAUGUGUUUAUUACCAUUCAGGGAUCGAAAUUCAAUUUUCUACAAAACACAUUCUAUCUAAUGUAUAAAAAUGUGAACAUAAUGAUAUCUGCAAUAAUCACAGUUUUUUAGUGUUCUAUAAGAGAAAAAUAUGCAGUUAGUAGGAGAAUAUCUUAGGGAAACUUCUUGUCAUUAUCAGAAAAAGAAGAAAAAGAAAAAAAAAACAACUUCAUGAUGACAGAGUAUGACAGUAUAGAACAUGUUUUAGUCAGCUUUGUUGCUGCUGUGACUAAAAGACCAAACCAGAACAAUUGUAGAGGAGGAAAAGUUUAUUUGGGGGGCUCACAGUUUCAGAGGUCUAGGUUUAUAGACAGCUGGCUCCAUUCCUCAGGGGUUGGGGUGAGGCAGAACAUCAUGGCAGAAGAGUGUGGCAGAGGGAAGGGUCUCACAUGAUGAUCAGAAAGGAGAGAGAGAGAGAGAGAGAGAGAGAGAGAGAGAGAGAGACUGCCUCCACUUGCCAGGAACAAAAUAUAUACCCCCAAAGCACACCUCAAUGCCCCAUUCUCCUCCAUCCACAUCCUACCAACCUUCAGGUACCUCUCAGUUAAUCCCAUCAGGGGUCUAAACCACUGAUGGGGUUAAGGCUCUCAUAACCCAGUCAUUUCUCCUCUAAACCUGACAUUGUCUCACACAUGAGCUUUUGGGGACACAUCACAUCCAAACCGUACAGAAUGUGUAUAUGUUUAACUUAAAUGCAAACUUCAUUCUACCUGGUUGGUUCUUUGUUUUUUGUGCAUUAUAAUAUCCUUUGACUCUUAUUUUCUUAUCUCACAUAGUAAGAAAGAAAAAUAACUAAUAUAGUUAUUAUUUCAAGAAUGUGUCCACAUGAUAGUUUUAUUCCUUACCUUUGAAUUAUAUUGUGUUUUCACUUUUAGUUUCAGAUUUUAGCUGCAAUUUAAGCAAGGCUUUAUAAUUUCCCAUCCCCACAUGUUCUAGUAGAAUGAUCAGUGAUAAAUAACAAGUAAUUAUAAAAUAAGUGUAAUUACAAACCAUAAUAUAUGCUAUGAGGGAAAAGUAGAAGGUGCUAUAAGAACAUAGAGCUUAGGAUUGAAUUUGUAUAUUUAAGAACAAUUAUUUUAGUUUUAGUGUGGAGAGUAAGGCAGGGAAAGUGUGUGUGGGAAGACAAAAUGGGAAGCUUCUGUGUGGCACAGGUAAGAGGUAAGAGCUUAGGAAAAGGUGUGGCAUUGGAGAUGGACACAGUGGAGGAACUGAAGUAUUUAGGAAUUAAAAGCUUUGGAGAUGGAAACAACUUCAAUGUCCAUUAACUGAUGCAUAAGGAAAAUGUGGUACAUAUAUACAAUGGGAUAUUAUUUUAGCCAUAAAAGGAUGAAAGUCCUGGUUUUUUAUGUUGUUGUUGUUGCCAUUUGCAACAACAUGGAUAGAAUGGGAGAUCAUUAUGUUAAAUGAAACAAGCCAGGUGCACAAAGACAAGUACCACAUGAUCUCACUCAUAUAAAGAAUCUUAAAACAUGUUGAUUUCAUAGAAGCAGAGAAUAGAAUAGUGGUUACCAGACUCUGAGAGGAUGGGAUAGAGGGGAAUGAGAGAAUGCAGGGGGCAGUUAGAUAGGAGGAAUAACUUCUAAUGUUCUAUAACACUGUAGGGUACCUCUUCUUGACAACAUUUACUUGUAUAUGUCAAUAUAGCUAGUGAGAGCAUUUAAAAUGUUUCAACACAAAGAAAUAAUGUUGAAGAUGAUAGACCAAUUACCUUGAUCUGAUCAUUACACAUUAUGUAUUAUAAAUAAACAUGUAUGGAAAUAACACACUGUACCCCAUUAAUGUGUACAAUUAUUAUAGGCCAAUCAUUGUCCUGCUCCUCAAAUAAGUUCUACUCAGCUUCCUGAAUUCUCAGAAUCCUACUCCAGAAUCAGAGAAUACUUUGAGGGAAGAGGCUCUAACAUGAGCUUAUGUCUGUGAGUUUCUAUUUCUAGAUUUUGGCUCUGAAAUUAUUCACCAUCUUGUUGGCUUUCCAAAGCUUUCAACCAGAUUUUUUUUUAAACCAGGGAUUGAAUUUAGGGGCAUGUGACCACUGAGUCUCAUCCACAGCCCUAUUUUGUAUUUUAUUUAGAGACAGGGUCUCACUGAGUUGCUUAGCACUUUGCUUUGGCUGAGGCUGGCUUUGAACUUGAAAUCCUCCUGCCUGAGCCUCCUGAGGCACUGGGAUUAUAGGCACGCACCACUGCACCUGGCUUCAAGCAGAAUAUCUUAAAACACUGUUUUCUUGUUGUUCAUUGCAAAGGUUGUUCUAAAUUUCUCAGUUUGUCUUUACCAAAAGUGCAACUUUAUCUCAUUUAAUUUUCAAAAAUGCUGGAGCAAUUUUCUUAUUCCCUUUUACUAGUCAGGAAAGUGGUGUCAGACAAACCAAGUAAAUUGCUCAGUUACAUUUAAAAAGUGGUAAACUUAUUUUUCCGGAUGAAUUUCCUGACUGCUUUUACUAUUUCUAUGAAGAAUGUCAUUGGAAUUUUGAUUGGAAUUGCAUUAAAUCUGUAUAGUGCUUUUGGUAGUAUGGUUAUAUUGACAAUAUUAAUUCUGCCUAUCCAAGAACAAGGGAGAUCUUUCCAUCUUCUAAGGUCUUCUUUAAUUUCUUUCUUUAGUGUCCUGUAGUUUUUGUUGUAGAGAUCUUUCACCUCUUUUGCUUAGUUGAUUCCCAAUUAUUUUAUUUUAUUUUAGUUUUUGAGACUAUUGUGAAUGAGGAGGAUUUGUCACUGAUACACAGAAAUGCCCUUGAUUUAUGGGUGUUGAUUUUGUGUCCUGCUACUUUGAUGAAUUCAUUUACUAGUUCUAGAAGUUUUCUGGUGGAAUUUUUUGGGUCUUCUAGGUAUAGAAUCAUAUCAUCAGCAAAUGUAGUGCUAAUUUGAGUUCUUCUUUUCCUAUCUGUAUCCCUUUAAUUUCUUUUGUCUAAUUGCUCUGGCCAGUGUUUCAAGAACUAUGUUAAAUAGAAGUGGUGAAAAAUGGCAUCCCUGUUUUGUUUCAGUUUGUAGGGAAUCUUUCAAUUUUUCUCCAUUUAGAAUGAUGUUGGCCUGGGGCUUAGCAUAGAUAGCUUUUACAAUGUUGAGAUAUGUUCCUGUUAUCCCUAGUUUUUUUAGUGUUUUAAACAUGAAGGGGUGCUGUAUUUUGUGGGAUGCUUUUUCUGGGUCUAUUGAGAUGAUCAUAUCCUUAGCAAGAAGAGUGAAGCAGGUGGCAUCACUAUACAAGACCUUAAAUUAUACUACAGAGCAAUAGUAACAAAAACAGCAUAGUAUUGGCACCAAAAUACAUUGGUAGAUGAAUAGUACAGAAUAGAGGACACAGAGACUAACCUACAUAAUUACAGUUAUCUUAUAUUAGAAAAAGUCACCAAAAACAUAUAUUGGAGAAAAGAUAUCCUCUUCAACAAAUGGUUCUGGGAAAACUGGAAAUCCAUAUGCAGCAAAAUGAAAUUAAGCCCCUAUCUCUCACCAUGCACAAAACUCAACUCAGAGUGGAUCAGGACCUAGGAAUUAAACCAGAGAACCUGUGUCUAAUAGAAGAAAAACUAGGCCCAAAUCUCCAUCAUAUUGGAUUAGGCUUCUACUUUCUUAAUAAGACUCCUAUAGCAUAAGAAUUAAAAUCAAGAAUCAAUAAAUGGGAUGGAUUCAAACUAAAAUGUUUCUUCUGAGCAAAGAAACAAUCUGUGAGGUAAAUAGAGAGCCUGCAUCCCUCACACAUCAGAGACAGCACUAGUCUCUAGGGUAUAUAAAGAACGCAAAAAACUUAACACCAAAAAAACAAAUAACCAAAUCAAUAAAUGGGCCAAGGACCUAAACAGACACUUCUCAGAAGGUGAUAUACAAUCAAUCAACAAAUAUCUGAAAAAAUGUUCAACAUCUCUAGUAAUUAGAGAAAUGCAAAUCAAAACCACUCUAAGAUUUCAUCUCACUCCAGUCAGAAUGGCAGCUAUUAAGAAUACAAACAACAAUAAGUGUUGGUGAGGAAGUGGGGAAAAAGGCACACUUAUACAUUGCUGGUGGGACUGCAAAUUGGUGCAGUGAAAGCAGUAUGGAGAAUCCUUGGAAAACUGGGAAUGGAACCACCAUUUGAUCCAGCUAUCCCUUUUCUUGGUCUAUACCCAAAGGACUUAAAAACAGCAUAUUACAAGGACACAGCCACAUCAAUGUUUAUUGCAGCACAAUGCACAAUUACUAAACUGUGGAACUAAACUGUGGAACUAAACUAGAUGCCCUUCAGUAGAUGAACGGACAAAAAAUGUGGUAUAUAUACACAAUGGAAUAUUACUCAGAAAUAAAAGAGAAUAUGCAUGGAGUUGGAGAAGAUAAUGCUAAGUGAAGUUAGCCAGUCCAAAAAAAAAAAAAAACCCAAAACAAAUAAAAAACAAAAACCCCAAAACAAACAAACAAAUGCCGAAUGUUUUCUCUGAUAUAAGGAGGGUGAUUCAUAGUGGGGUUGAGAGGGGGGAGCAUGGGAGGAUUAGAAGAACACUAGAUAGGGCAAAGGAGAGGGAGGGGAUAGGAGGGGGGAAGGGAGUAAAAAAGAGGUGGAAUGAGAUGGACAUUAUUAUCCUAAGUACAUGUAUGAAGACACAAAUGGUGUGAAUAUCUUUGUAUACAACCAGAGAUAUCAAAAAUUGUGCUCUAUAUGUAUAAAAUGAAUUGUAAUGCAUUCUGCUGUCAUAUAUAACAAAAGAAAAAAAAGUGAUAAAUUUGAAUUUAAACUUACAUCUUUCUGUCUGUACAACUUGUGCUUUUACAUUAGCUAAAAGUAAUUUUGGCUAAUACCUCCCAAAUGAAACAUACUAUUAGAAGAUUUAUUAGUAAUAAUACUUCUCACCAAUUAUAAAUAUGUGUUUGCAAAAUUGAAAGUCUGUUUUAUAGAGGUCUUUAAUUUCACUAUCACAUAGUGAAUUUGAGUUUUCUCAAAUUUUCUAAGUAUCUUUAGAGUUAUAAAUUGUUACUCAUACUGAUUAGCAGUCAGUACUUCAUAACAUAAGGGUAUUUUAUUCUAAAGUUUAAGUAUAUAAAAUAAAAAAUAAUGGCUCUUUAUUAUAAAGUAUGAAUAUAUAAAAUAUUAAAGUAUGCAAAAAUUGAGUCUCAUUUUAUGUUAAGUGAAAUAAGCCAGGCACAGAAAGACAAAUACCUCAUGACGUGGAAUAUAAAAAUGCUAACCUCAUCCAAGGGGAAAAUGGUGAUUUCCAGGGGCUGAGGUGAUUGAAGUGGGUGUAUGGAUGAUAUUGUUUAAAUAUAAAAUUUCAAUGAGAUAGGAGGGAUAAAUUAAAGAGAUCUAUUUUAGAACUGGUGUGUAUAAUUAAUAAUAUGUUGUAUUCUUGAAAAAUGUUGAGUGCAUAUAGUGUUCUUACCACUAAAAUAACAAUGUGAGGCAAUGCAUAUGUUAAUUAUAUAGAUCUUGUCCACAGUGUAUCUAUACUAAAGACAUCAUGUUGUACAUGGUAAAUACAUAUAGAUUUAUCUAACUAAAAAAAUCAAAUCUCAAUUUUAAAAUUUCUUUACUGUUUUUUUUUCCCACUUCUUAUUUUGGAUUCAUUUUAAGGAAAUUUGGUCUUGUUUCAAAUCUCAUCUAUUACCAAUUAAAAUUCCACUAAAAAACAAUGAAUUCCUUUGCACAAAGUCACCUAUUGACUUCCAUCACAUGCUAUUUGUCUUUCAGGAAUACACACACACACACACACACAUGCAUAUGUGUAUAAAAGCUUAAUAAUAUAGAUAAUAAAUGAUACAUUAUUAUCUAUAUUAUAAAGCUUUAAAAUAUUACUUAGAACCAAACAGAAUUCUUCUUUCCUUACUCAAAGCAUAGAUCUAUAUUUAGAAAAAUAACUUAUCUGCUUAUUUUCACUGAUAAGAAACUUGAAUACUUUCUCUAGCAGAAAUAUUUCCUUCCAUCUUCCUAUGCAAUGAUGAUAUUAAAUUAAAGUUAAAGUAAAUAUUUUAUAGUAGAAUAGCAAAGGCUAAAAAAUGCACAUUUCUUCAACAAAAUGAGUUAUGGCCCUAUGGCCUGAGGGUCAGGGUUUUUAAGGUUACUGAAGGGUUUUUACAUCAAAGGUGCCCUAGAAGACAUCUGGCUGGUAGAUAGACUUGACCUCCCCACCCAAGUGUUAUUGCGGGAAAAGGAAAUAUGAGGGGCCCUCUUAUGCUAAUUGCUAUAAGCAUUAAAGGAACAGAAUAAAGAAAAUCUGAUUUAGGGUUUCUUCCUGUUGAAAUCUUCUAUUAUACUAGAUAGCACAUUUUACUAGAUCUGGAACAGGGUCCUAGAGAUGACAGAGUGCAUUUAGAAGCCCCUUUGUUAUAUCUAUUAGAACCAAGCUCUGUUCUUGGUGGUUGGAGAGGAAAGACAUGCUCUUUGAAGCCAUGGAAAAUCCUUCCCUAUGAGGAGGAGGGUAGAGCAGUGCCCAGGGGUCCCUGAGCUCAAUAUAAUGUGCUCUGGAUCUGUUGAUGGAGAUCAUAGGCCACUUAGUACAAGUGCUAGAAAGUUAAUAUUACAUGCUACAUACUAAUGUUUAUAGCAGUGCAAUUCACAAUAGUCAAGUUAUGGAACCAUCUUAGGUGCUCAUUAACAGGUAAAUGAAUUAAAGGUAUGUGGCAGAUAUAUACAAUAAGGUUUUACUCAGCCAUAAAGAAGAAUGAAAUUACACCAUUUGUCAGUAAAUGGAACUGGAAAACAUCAUGCUAAGUGAAACGAGCCAGACUCAAAAAGUGAAGUGUCAAAUGUUUUCUGUCAUAUGCAGAAACUAGAGAGGGAGAGACAAGAAGGAGUAAAAAUAGAUUUCUUGAAAAUGGAAGGUAAACCCCCCUGGGGAAUAACCACCUACCAGCCACCAACUCAGUGAGCUUCACAAACGGCAGCACAGAGGGAAUAAAAUUCCAAGGGAAAGAAGAUAAAGAGGGAGAGAGGAUGGGGAAAGCAUGGGAAAGUAGUAGGGAAUGAAAUUUACCAAAUUAUGAUAUGCCCAUGUCUGAAUGUGCCACAAUGAAUUUCACUUACUUAUGCAAUUAUAAUGCACAAUUCCAAAUAAUAAUGAUAAUUAUUUUAUGAUAAUUUCCCAUCUCUGUUCACAAAAGACCUGACAAGAACAAUAUAGAGUGGACCUGGAGACUAUCAUGCUAAGUGAAAUAAGCCAGUCCUCCCAAACCAAAGGCUGAAUGUUUUCCCUGAUAUGCGGGAGCUAACCCACAAUAAGCAGUAGAUUAGACAAAUAGGAAUGAAGGGAAGGGAGAGGGGAUAGAAAAGGAAAAGACAGUAAAUGAAUUCAAAAUAACAUGAAUACACCAUAGUGAAUGCCACCAUCAUGUAUAUCCAUAAAAUGGGGUCCUAAAUAGAAUAAGAUAUAUUCCAUGCUUGUACAAUUAUAUAAAAAUGAAUUCUACUGUCAUGUAUAACUAAAAAGAACCAAUAAAAAUAAACAAAAUAUACAGUAAAAUAAAAGGUGUCAUCACAAAAAUAAUAGAGGAGAAAAUGUUUAUUUUGGGAUAAUGCUAUAAAUCUGAAGGGUUUAGAGGGGGUAGGAGGAGAAAAAUGCAAGGCUGGGAAAUAGAGGAGGACCAUGCUCUUUUUCCCACAGUAGCAUUCUCAGCAGGAGGUAGCAUUGAACCAGAGAAGAGAAAUUUUAGCUUCAAAUAAAGUAUGAAAUUUUGAUGAUGUUAAUGAACUGAACAUUUAAUUUCUAGAUUGAUACUGGUCAGAGAACUUUUAAAAAAAAUUAAAGACAGAGUCUCACUGAGUUGCUUAGCACCUUGCCGUAGCUGAGGCUGGCUUCAAACUCACAAUCCUCCCGUCUCAGCCUCCUGAGCUGGUGGGAUUGGAGGACUUUUAGUGUUCAAAAUGGGUCAUACAAUUAUGGGUCCUUCCUGAUAGUUCUUUCCUGCCCUGGGAUCUACCACCUACGAGCCACUAACCCAUUGAGCUAGCUUCACAAAGGGCAGCACCAAGGAGAUGAAGUUGCUUUUUCACUGCACCCAUUUGUGUCUUGCUCCAUCAAGUACUGGUUACAACUUAUUCAAAUAUCUUAGCCUUCUAUCAGCAUGGGAGAGUAAAUUUAGCAAUACAGUCUUAAUAAGUUUGUUUUUCAAUAGUAAAAAUACCAUGGACUUGGUGGCUUAUGAACAGUAGAAAUGCACUUCUCCCAAUUUUAGAGGUUGGGAAGUCUGGGACUCUGACCUUGCUGCACUUAUCCUGGCUUCCUAGGCCUUCCUUUGAAAUCUUGGUGGAAGCCUCCAUGAAUCCCUAACUCAGUCCUGCAUUCCUGAAGAACCAGCAUCAAAUGGUUGAUGCCAAGUCUGCUGCCAUCUUGAGCAUCAGACAAGCAUCCAGGGAACCUGGCUGCAGCAGCCUCUGAGUGCCUAGGUAACUGAGCAUGUUGAAAAAACUUCCUAGACCCCUUGUGCAAGAAGGAUCCCCCACGUACUCUUCUCAAGAGAAUUUUCACUUUUACUCCCUUGAGCCUGAGAUGGAUGUGGUCUUGCCAGCUCCUGAGAUGCCCUCAAGUCAUCUUUCUUACUAUCUCUAGGCAAAGUCUUUAGUAUUUCUUUAGUGGUAAUGUCUUUAACAACUGCAACUUCCUUAGCUCCAGUUUACUAAGGCCUUUCAAGUCCAUGUUCUCCAAAUCCUUCUGCUCUGCUUUCUGCUGAUUAUCAUAAUAAAUUUGGCUAAAAGUUGCUGGCAAUUUCCAUGCCACUGCCUGAAUACUAUGCUGCCUAGAAAUUUCUUCCAUCAGAUUAAGAAGUCUAUCACUUUUAAAAUCAUCCUCACAGAAAGUAUCAGAACAUGGGAAAAAUGCAGACAAUUUCUCAGCCAGAAUAUAAUAGGAAUGGACUCUAGUCCAAAUUCUAAUAAAGCCCUCUUCCAUCAGAACCCUCUUGAGCUCAUGGUCCAGUCCUAUUGGCAUUCUGGUCUUCUGAGCUCCCACCAGAAUCAGCCAUUGAGCAACAAAGUAAAGCACUUCUAGCUUGCGUAGCUAAGCAUCUCAAAAUUCCUCCCACCAAUUCCAAAAAGCUCAAAAAGCUUCUGAACCACAUGAUCAGGUUAGUCAAAAGAAUGACCCCACUUUUGAUACUAAUUUCUGUUUAGUCAGCUUUUUCACUGCUGUGACUAAUGGAACUGACUAGCACAAUUAUAGAAGAGGAAUAGUUUACUUAGGUUCACAGUUUCAGGGGUCUCAGCUCAUAGGUGGGUAGCUCCUUUCCUUGGGGCUCAAGGUGAGGCGGAACAUCAUGGCAGAAGAGUUGUGGUAGAGGGAAGCAGCUCACAUUGUGAUCAGGAAGCAGAAAGAGAGACUCCACUGGCUAGAUACAAAUAUAUACUUCAUAACCCUUCCCCAUAUGAGCUUCCUCCAGCCACACACCACUUGCCUCCAGUUAUCAAUCAUUUAGUCCUAUGAGGGAUUAAUUCACUGAUCAUGUUAAGGCUAUAACCCAAUUAUUUCUCCUCUAAACCUUCUUGAAUUGCUCACAUGUGAGCUUUUGGGGGACACCUCACAUCUAAGCCAUAAGAACUAGCAACUACGAGAAGCUGCAAGAGGCAAUAGAUGAAUUUCCCUAGAGACUCUGAAGGGAGAACUUGCUCACUGACACCUUGAUUUCAGCACAGUGAAACCAAUCUCAGACUCCUGGUAUCCAGAUCUGAAGGGGUCAUUUUAUCUUGUUCUGAGUCACCAAGUUGUGGUAACAUGUAACAACCAUUUUAAGAAAUUAAUACACUGUGAAAACACUGCUGCCUCCUCUGCUUGCAUAAGAAGCCAUGAAAUCAGAAUUGUUUUUUACUUCUUUGUCUAUCCCUUACUUCCUACAAUGCACAGUUAGCUCUCUAACUCAGACCAGAUAUUAUGCAAUUUACAUUUUAUCUACUUUUUUUUAUAAAGGAAUCUAAUGGCAGAAACUACCAAUACCACAAGCAGCAGUAGGAACAAUUACUAACAUUUUAUUGAAAUCUCACUAAGUAUUUGCAUUACCUCAUUGAAUCAUCACUACUAUCCUUUGAUUUGAGUAACAGUUAUUACCUCUGUUUUAGAGAGAAAGGCUAAAGCAAGUUUCCCAAAGGAGAAACAAACUAUCAGUACCUACUUGCAAGUAUCAAGGUAGUACAAGUUUUUAAAUUAUAAGUAUCAGAAGAAUUCUACUUCUUUCUGUCUAUACCCCUACUCACAAAUGCUGAAAUGGCUACAAAUUUGAGAAUGGGUGUUUGAGUCAGCGUUUUCACUGCUGUGACUAAAAGAUCUGACCAAAACAUUUGUAGAGGAAGAAGAGUUUAUUUGAGGGCUCACAGUUUCAGAGGUCUCAGUUCAUAGACAGCUGGCUCCAUUCUUCACCGAUUGACUUGAGAUAAAGCAGAACAUCAUUGCAGAAGAGUAUGAAAGAGGGAAGAAGCUCACAUGAUGAUCAGGAAGGAGAGAGAGAGAGAGAGAGAGAGAGAGAGAGAGAGAGAGAGAGUCUUUUCAAAUUGGCUUCUUUUAGCAUAUGCAUCUGGGGUGACUCCAUGUGGGUUUAUUAUUCAUUUUGUAAACUGCAGAGUAAUAUUCCAUUGUAAGGGAACACAAUGGUUUGUUUGUCUUUUCAUACACUGAAAGAUAUCUUUAUUGCUUCCAACUUUUGGUAAUUAUGAAUAAUGUUCCUAUGAACAUGAACAUGAAGAUUUUCAUGUGGAUAUAGUUUUUAACUCAUUUGAAUAACUACUAGCAUGUGAGAUUGCUGGAUCAUAAGGUAAGAGUAUGUUUAGUUUUAUAAGAUACUGCCUGUACUGUUUUGUAUUUCAACAAGGAAUGAAUAAGAGUUUCUGUCGCUCCACAUCUUUGCCAGCAUUUGGUGUUGUCAAGGUUUAUAGUUUGAAAAUGAGGUGACACCCCCUCAUUCCCCCCAAAAAAAAACAUCCACAAAAAAAAACAAAAACACAAGAAACAAACUCCUGCGAAUGCAGGACUAUUUGGGAUGAGAUGAUUGGAUUGUGAGAGCUGUAACCUAAUCAGCCUAUCCUACUUUAAAUGGAGGCAGGUGGAACAUGGCUGUAGGUUUUCAUAGGAGUGUGCUCUGGAAGGGUGAAUAUUCCCUUUGGCCCCUUCCCUGUCCCUCUAUCUCUACUUUUUGUGCCCACCAUAAGCGGAGCAGCUUUCCUCCACUUGGCUCUUGUCCCUUGAUGCGCUGCCUCAUCUUGGGCUCUGAGCAAUGGAAUAUGUAUUCUGUCUUUGGACUGAAACUUCUGAAACUAUAAGCUCCAAAUAAACUUAAUCUCUUUUAAGUUGUUUUCAGGUAUUUUGGUCACAGCAAUGAAAAGCAGACUAAAACAUCAAAUUUGGGAUUUCAGUUAUUUUAAUCAACAUACAGUGGUAACUCAUUGUUUUAAUAUACAGUUCUCUAAUUACAUAGGAUGUUUGGCAUGUUUUUAUAUACUUAGUUGACAUUGGUACAUCUUUUUUGGUGGGGUUUCUACUCUCUCCAUUUUGAAAUUUGGGUUGGUUGUUUUCUUAUUGUUGAAUAUUAGUGGUGCUUUGUAUAUUUUGGUUACCAAUCCUUGGACAGAUUUGUAUUUUGCAAAGAUUUUCUUCCAACCUGUGAUUUAUCUUUUCAUUCUAUUAACAAGAUCCUUCACAGAGCAGAAACUUUCAAUUUUAAUGUGUUAAACAUCAGUUUUUUUAUAACAUGGAUGGUGUUUUUAGUGUUAUAUUUAAGAAGCUAUUUCCAAAUCUGAGGUACCUAGAUUUUCUCCUACAGUUCCUUCUAAAAGUUUUAUAGUUUUCCACUUUACACUUGAGGUGUUAUCCAUUUUAUGUGAAAGGUGUAAUGUCUGUGUCCUUAUUAGUAGUAUUAUUUUAACAUGCAUAUGUCCAGUUGCUCCUGCACCAUUUAUUAAGAAAUUUUUUUAGCAUUUAAUUGUCUUUUUUUCUUUGUUAAAGAUCAGUUGACUACAUCUGUGUGGGUCUAUUUCUGGGUUUUCUAUUCUGCUCCCUGUUGAUUUAUUUGUCUAUUCUUUUUCUAAUACCACAGUGUCUUCAUUAUUGUAGCUUUACAGUAAGUCAGUCCUUUAACUUUGUUCUUUAAUACUGGGUUCAUGAUUUUGGGUCUUUUUCCUUUCCAUAUACCCUUUAAAAUCAGUUUGUUGUUAUUUACAAAAUAAACUGCUAGGAUUUUGAUUAGAAUUGUAUUGUAUAUAUUAAUUUGAAAGAACUAACAUCUUAAUAUUGAGUCUUCCUGUUCAUGAAUAUGGAAUAUCUCCUCAUUUAUUUAUAUAUUCUUUGAUUUCUUUCAUUUAUAUUGUAUUUUUCCUUAUCAGAUCUUGUAUAUAUUUUAUUAGAUUAGCAUUUGCACUUUUUUUCUUCAUGGUAAUAUAAAUGGUACUGUGUUUUAAGUUACAAAUUCCAAUUAGUAGUUGCUGGUGUAGGAAAGCAAUUAACUUUUGUAUAUUAACCUUGUAUCUUACAACCUUACUCUAAAAUUUUCUACAUAGACAUUUGUGUAAUCUGUGAACAAAGAUAAUUUUAUUUCUUCCUUUCCCUUGUUAUUUCCUUUCUUGAUUUAUUGCAUCAGAUAGGACUCCCAAUAUGAUGUUGAACAGGAAUGGUGAAAGUGGACAUCCUUACAUUUGUGUGUGUGUGUGUGUGUGUAGAUGUUCUUUAUCAUAUAGAAAGAAAACCAAAUUGUUAAUGGAAGGAUUUUAGACAACAGUGAAGAAUGCUUUUCAGGUGUGAGGUUUUUCUUAAAUCAGAUUUCACAGGGAUUCUGUUAUAUAUGAGAAUGACCAGUCACAGUAAAAGAAACAUCUGUCUUAUUCCAGAUAAAAAACAAAAGACUCCCAAUCCUGAACAAAUAUUAUUUUCUUUAGUAAAGGCAAAUCUAGAUGUUCACCCAUUGCGUUUUCUUUCAUUAAAUCAACCCAAAAGCUUCUGCUGCAUUCCUACUAAGACUUUUCUGCCUCAGAAAUGCAAGGAUAAGCAGAAUGAAAUCCCAGUACUUUACAUGGAAUGGGAGCAUUAUGGGGGUGGGGCAGGGUUUGUUGAAUAGGAAUGUCUGCAUAGAUUUAAAGUGUAAUAUCAAGUUUUAAGACUUUGGAACAAUCCUUGCAAAGUGCUUUUACCAUUUUUUCUUCUUAAAGCAGUCUAUGGAGCCAUUUAUAUUUUUAUUUCCAUCAUAUUUGGACUGCCACCAUAAAUUUAGUGAGCAGAUUCCCUUGAAUCCAGUCUCUUUAGCAGGGUUUUAAGGAAAUGCUAAGCAGAUUUUGUUAUGAAGGCUCUCCUGGAAUAAAUCAUCAUUAUUAGAGAAGGAAAAGACAACCACAUCCAAGGAAAAGGGGUAAAAUAGAAUUGUCGAGGCAAGGGAAAAGUAAGCUAAUAGAGCUCAACUUUUUAAAUUGAAGAAAAUAAACCCCAAGUGAAGAAAGCUGUAAUAUGCUUGUAAUCAUUUGUUCUGUAAACCAUUUUAAAAAUUAAUUAACUAGAGUCUUAGAGGUCAGUUGCUGACUAAAGAGAUCACUACUUGUAAAAAGCAAUGUUUUUAAAAACUGAAAGUCUCUCACAUUUGGAAUCUGUCAGGGGGAAAAAUCCCAGUGAGGAAAAAAAUGCAAAAAGAAAAUAUUGGAAUAGAGUCUUUCCAUAAAUCGAAUAUGUUUGCAUUUGUUGAAGUUCAUAAGAUUGUGCAGAGUGUCAGAUAAUUUAGAACUGUUUAUUCUAAGAGAGGAGGUUGUAAGACAUCCUCAAAAUAAUUCCAUAUGUUAACAUGUGAGUCUUUGGAAAAUUUGGUUUGUUCUAUUACCUCAAAAGCAACCCCACUGGGCAUUAGACUCUCAGGGAAUAAAAAAAGAAAUACCACUGGAAUAGCUGAACUGUUUAUUUUUAAACAUGUAGAACUAAAGAUCAAUUAAAAAAAUAAACUAGGCAUUUGAAUACAUUUUGUUUCACCAAGGAUUGAAGUAUGCAGCUUGGGAAGGGGAACAUGUGUAAAAAAUUGAUCUAUACUCCCCAGAAGAAAAAUCCCCCAACCAUAUUGUAAAGUAAAGAUAACUAUAAAUAGACAUUAGAGGCAAUAAAACUAUAUAUUGUCCUGACUGCAUCAAAUAUAAUCUAAAUAUUUGAUUUGCCUCAACUUAAUUUCUAUAUAUAUGAAAGGAGUAUGGCAAGACUGUCCUCCCACUUGCCAAUACCACCACAUGUAUUCUCCAUCAUCUUCCUUCCUAUUCUUCCUCAUGGAGCAAUAGGAAGGAAGAUGGGAUACAAGGUGAUAUUAUGCUUGUUUCCUGAUGAGCCAUAUGUAACCCACACACAGACUGAGGAGAAUGGCAGAGAUAUUAAAGGGAAAAAAGGAUAUUAAAGAGGAUUUUUCUUAAAAAUUCCCUAAUUAUUGCCAAAUAUGCAAGUAUACAUAAGAGGACAACUUUGAUAAUAGGCAUUAAAAAUAAAUUAUCAUUGAAUGGUUGUUGGUAGGUGCGUGGAGACUAAAUAAUCUAUAAUUAUAAGAGAUGCCACAUUGUAUUAUUUGAAAUGUCCAAUUUAUAACAAAAAUAGGACGUGUAAAGAAACAUGUAAAUAUGGCCCACACAAAGGGGAAAUAAAAAGGAAUCAAUUGAAACUGUCUCCAAGAAUGCUCAAAUGUCAGACUUACUAGUCAAAUUCUUUAAAUCAGUUAUUAUAAUUAUGUCCAAGGAACUAAAAGAAACCAUGCUUACAUAAUUAAAUAAAAGUAUGAUGAAAAUAUCUCAACUGAAUACAAUCUAUCAAUAAAGAGAUAGUAAUAAUAAACAAAUUGGAAUUCUGGAGCUGAAAAUUACAAUAUUAAUACAAAAUAUUCACUAGAGAAGUUGUUUCAGCAGCAGUUUUGAACUGGUAGGAAAAUAUUUAGCCAACUGGAAGGCAGGACAAUUGAUAUCCAGUAAAGAAGAAAAGCAAAAAGAUAAAGCAUGAAGAAAAAUAAGAGGAGCACCAGAUACUUGUGAGACCCCAUUUGCAUAUCAACAUGAAAUUCUAGAAAGAGAAAAGAGGGAGAAAAGGUAAUGAAGAAAAAAAUGACACAAACAGAGAAGUGAAAAAUUCUGCUCUACUUGUGUACAAUGAAUUGUAGAGCUUUCUAUUGUCAUGUAUAAACUGAUUAGAACUCAUAAUAAAGAAAAUAUGAUGGCCAUAAACUUCCUGAAUGAGAUUAAAGAACACCCAUUAGUAUUCCCAUACCAGAGUCUCAAUGAUCUUUAAGUAGGAUAAACUUUAAGUAUGGAUAAAGCCAUACCUAGAUACAUUAGUAAAGCUGUGAAAAGACAAGGACAAAGAAAAAUUUUGGAAGCAGCAAAAGAAAAUCCACUCACCAUAUUCAAUGAGUCCUCAAUAAGAUUAACAGCUGACAUACUAUCAGAAACUACAGAGUUCAGAGGGAAGUGGGAUGAUAUAUUGAAAAUAAUGAAAGAAAAAAGGUAUUGGUGAAGAAAUCAAUAUACAGAAAAAUGGUCAACAAUUAAGGGGAUAUUAAGAAGCUUCAGAUAAACAAAAAAGUGAUAGAAUUCACCAUGAGAAGACUUUCUGUACUAAAAAAAAAACUAAUGAGAAUCCUUUCAUCCUAAAUGGAAGGAUACUAGGGAGUCAGUAAAAAAAAAAUGAAAAAUUAAAGAUGCAAGUAAUAAAAGGUAAAUAUAAAUCACAACAAAAAUCUACUUUGGUUUAUAACUCUUUUCUUACUUGAUUUAAAAAUACAACUACAAUAUAAAUAAAAGCAAUAUAAAUGUUCUGGAACUUAACAGUGGAGUUACAUCCUGAUAUACUCAUUGUAAUUUAAAAAUAUCGUAAGUUGAAAUGCAUUUAAUAUACUUAACCUACCAAACAUCAUAGCUUGGGAACAUAGUGCCCUGUGCAGUAUUUCUUGUUUACCCUUAUGAUGUGACUCACUGCUGCUGCCCAACAUUGCAAGAGAAUAUCACACCACAUAUUACUAGCUCACAAAGAGAUCAAAUUUAAAAUCUGAUAUAUAGAGCUGGGGUUUCAGCUCAGUGAUAGAGUGCUUGCCUAGCACAGGUGAGGCACUGGGUUUGAUAUUUAGCACCACAUAAAAAUAAAUAAAUAAAAUAAAGGUAUUGUGUCCAUCUACAACUAAAAAAUUAUUUUUCAAAAUUUGAUAUAUAAUUUCUACAGAAUGCAUGCCAAAUUUGUAUCAUCGUAAAGUAAAAAAAAAUUUAAGUUGAACUUUCAUAAGUUGGGGAAUGACUGUAGGUAUAAAGCUGCAUUGAUGAGCUUAUUUUAUAUAUAUAUAUAUAUAUAUAUAUAUAUAUAUAUAUAUAUAUAUAUAUAUAUAAAAUGAUUUAAUUCAAUUGACAUUAAUAACGUAGAGAAAGAGGGAAGAGCUAAAGUAUACUGGAGCAAAGAUUGUGUAUAUUAUUGAAAUCAAAUGUAUUAAUCUGAACUAGAUUAGUAAAAUAGUGCACUAGAAAACAGAUACUUGACACAAACAGAAGACAUAUAUAAAACAAAAAGCAGAAAAGUUUACUUGGGGUUCAUGGUUUCAGAGAUCUGUGCAUGGUAGGUCUGGCCAUGGUCAGUCCACUCUAUUGCGCUCUGUCUGAGGUGAGGCAGAACAUCGUGGCAUGACAGAAGAAAGGUGCUCUGUUCACAGCAGCCAGGAAGCCAAGAGAAAGAGUGAGGAGACAGGGACAACAUAUAAAUCCCAGGACAACCUCUAGUGUCCUACCUUCCUUUAGUCGUGCCCCACUGCCUACAGUUACCGUUCACUGAUCCAUUCAGAUUAUUCACCCAUCAAGUGGCUUAAUCAUUGAUGAGGGUUCUGCUCUCAUAAUGUAAUCAUUUCACCCCUGAAAACAUUCCUACCUUGUCUAAUACAUGGGCUUUUCAGAGGAAACUCUUAUCCAUACCACAGUAGGAGGAAUGAAUAAAAACACAUGAUCUAACUACACAGACAUUAUAAGAAACACUUUUUAGAUUAAAAGUUACAAAUAGGUCGAACAUAAAAUGAUGGGGAGUAUAAUACCAUGCAAACUAUAACCAAAAGAGAAGUGGACAUUUGGAUUAAAAUGAUUUAUAGGAACAAGGACAUUUAAUAAUGAUACACAAAAGUGUCGAUUCAUAUCAAACACACAAUUUUAAGCAUAUAUUAAAUUGUCAAUACAGUCACAAACUAUGUAAAGCAAAAAAAAAAAAUGACAACUCAAGGAAGAAAUAAUUUAAUGAAAAAAGUUAAAGUCUUUGAACUUCCACUAAUGGUAGAAAAAUGAGACAGGAGAUCAUAAGAAAACAGAGGACUUGAAUAAUAAUAUAAUCCAACUGGACCUACAGAAUUCUCUACCCAGCAACAGAAGAUAUGUAUUUUCCAUAAACAUACAAGAACUAUUUGUCAGAAUAUACCACAUGUGAGAACAUAAAACAAGUCUCAACAAAUUAAAAAGAAUUUCAAAUCAUACAAAAUACAUUCUCUGGAUACAAGAAAUCACAUUAGAUAUCAACAGAGAAAUAAUCUGGGAAACUCAAAAAUACGUGGAAUUAUUCAACACACUACUAAAUAACAAGUGGAUCAAAGAACAAACAUCAUGAAAAAUUAGAAACUACUUCAAGAUAAGUAAAAACAGAAAAACACCCUAACAAAACAUAGUAUGAAGAUAAAGCAGUGCUCAGAUGGAAGUUUUUAGCUAUAAAUGAUUGUAUUAAAAAAAGAACAAUCCAAAAUAAAUAACCUAAACUUCUACCCUAAGAAAGUAGAAAAAGAACUCAAAAUAAGAAGGAAAGAAAUAAAGAUUAGAGCAAAAAUAUUAAAAAAAUUACAAAAUAGGAAAGAAGUAGAAAAAAAAUUAAAGAAAUUAAAAGUUAGUUCUUUUUAAAGAUCAGCAAAAUUGACAAAUCUUUAAGUAGACUGGCUAAGGAAAAAUAAGAUUUAACUUAGUAAAAUCAGGAAUGUAAGAGAGGGCAUCUCUAUUGAUUUUCAGAAAUAAAAAAAAUUAUAAGAAAAUAUUAUGAAUAAUCAUUUGCCAACAAAUUACCGAGAUGAAAUGGAAGCAUUCCUAGAAAGUCACAAACUGACUCAAGGAAGAGAAAAUCUGAAUAAGCAAGAAUUGAAUAAAUAAUUACAGAUCUCCCACAAUGUUCAUCCCCAGAUGACUUUACUGGUGAAUACUGCCAUAUUUUUAAAGAAGAUUCAUUUAAGACUAAUCUUUCACAAAAUUUACCAAAAAACAUAACAGGAGGGAAGAGCUCCUGUUGCCUUACUUGUACCAUGAAAUGAGUAUUCCUUUGAUAUCAAAACCAGAAAGAUAUCAUAAGAUAACUACAGACCAGUAUCCCUUGGUGUCUAUGACUAUAGACAGAAGUUCUUAAUGAAACACAAGUAGGCCAGAUCCAACAGCGUAUAAAAAUAUGAUACACUGUGAUCAAGUGGGUUUCAGAACAGAGAAUGCAAGGUUUGUUUAACAUAUGAAACAUCUAUGAAUCAACAAAUGUAAUACACCAUACUGAUAGAAUAAAGUAGAAAAACAUGAAAAUCCUAGUAGACAAUAGAAAAAGUAUUUAAUAAAGUCCAAUCCUCUCCCAUUAAAAUAUUUAUUAAAUUAAAGAGAAUGGAAAGGAUAGAAGAAAUUGAAAAGUACUUACUCAACCCAAUAAAGGAAAUUUAGGAAAAGCCCACAGUUGAUAUGGUAUUUAAAAUGAAGGACAAAAUCAUUGCCCUUUAGAUAAGAAUAAGAUAAGGAUAUUUUUUUCUAGAAAAUUUAAUUCAACAUUGCAUUGCAAGUUCUAGCCAUUGAAUGUAGGUCAGAAAAGGAGGUAAAAUCCAUUAAAGAUUGGUGGAGGGGUGGUGGGGGAGAAAUAAAACUCUCUAUGUUCAGAUGGCAUGAUGUUCUAUGUACAAAAACUACCUAAGAAAUAAAUUUUAAAAAAUAGUAGAAAUCACAUGAGUUUAGUAGGGUUUCAGGGCAUAGAAUAAGGAUACAAAAGUCAAGUGUAUUUCUACAUUAGAAACACUAGAAAUGUGCAACCUAAAAAUAAAAUAAAUUAUGAGGUCAUCUAAUUUAUCAUAAUUAAAAAUACUUAAGUAAUACAUUAAAGUGGCUAGUUCAUUAAGACAAAACUGUUUUAAAUAUUUGUAUAUCUGAUAACAGCUUCAAAACACAUGAAACAAAUACUGAAUUGAAUUAAAAGAAAAAUAGGUAAACCCACAAAUAAAGAUUUCUGUACUCCUUCUCAGUAAUUGAUACAGCAAGUAGGCAGAGAUUAUUUAGGAUAUAAAAGGCUUAAUCUUAAACUACUUGCUCUAAUUGGCAUUUGUACACAUUUUACUCAGCAGCAAAAGAACAUAUGUUCUUUUCAAGUUCAACUAGAACACUACCAAGAUUGAAUGUAUUUUGAGACUAUAAAUGAAUCUCAACAAUUAAAAAAAUUCAAAUCCAAUGUAGGAGCUAUGCUUUCUGAACAAAUUGGAAUUAUGUAUCAAUACUAGAAAAAUACAUGGAAAAUUCCCUAAUAAUUGGAAACUAACAUCCUUCUAAGUAAUACAUGAAUCAAGUAAUGCAUCAGAAAUGAAAUUAGAAAUACAGCACACAGAACUUUAUGGGAUGCAGAUAAUGGAGUAUUUAGAGGGAAUUUUAUAGCACUAAAAUGCCUAUAAUAGAAAAGAAAUAUGUAUCAAAAGCAUUACCCCCACUUUCAAGUUAAGAAACAGGAAAAAGAAGCAUGAAUUAAAUUAAGAAUAAACAGAAGAAAGUAAUUCAUACAGACAAGUUCAGAAACCCAUGAGGUUGAAAAAAUAAAUUAAACCUAUAGCUCUUUUGGUAAUUUUAUGGACAUUGAUAAAAAUGGUAAACCUCUAUCCAGAUUGAUCUGGAUAAAAGUGAAAAAUUACACGAAUUACCAAUAUUAAGGAUGAAAGAGAUGAUAUCACAUCAAAUUCUACAGACAUUACAAUGAUAAUGAGGGGUUAUUAUGACCACCUCUGUUCAAAUAAUAUGACAACUUAGAGGAAAUAAAAACAACUCUGUUAAAGAUGAAAAUGAUUAAGGUUCAAUCAAAAAAUUAAACUUAAUAACUUUAUCUAUUAAAUAAAUUGAAUUUGUAAUUAAAAACCUUCUCACAAAGAAAACUCCAGGAUUGAAGUAAAAAAGAAAUUUAUAAAUUCACAAAUAAAGUCAAGAUUUACUGAAAAAUUUUAACAAAUAUUUAAUGGAGACAUGAUACCAGAUUUCACAGAAAAUUGAAGAGAUGAAAACACUUUCCAAUUCAUUCUAUGAAGUCAUUAGUUGGGCAAAAUGAAAGAUAAACUGAAGAAAAUAAAAUUACAGAUCAUGAAAAGCUAUGAUAUAUUCCUAAGUGGAGAAGAACUAUAUUGCUUAUGAAUUUUAAAAACUUGAUAUUGUUGUUUAUUACCCCUUAAUUGACAUAUACAUUGAAAUCAAUCUCAAUUAAAGCCUCGGUAGGCUUAUUUGUAGAAAUUUAUAAUCUGAUUCCAAAAUUUAUAUUUAAAUGUAAAGGAGAAUAACCAUACAAAAUUGAAAGGAACAACAAAGUUGAAAGACUUAUACAACCAGAUUUUACAAUUUAUUUAGAGUGCUACGAUUAUUCAAGGCAAUUUUAUUGGCAUAAAUAUUGACAAACAGAUCAACAGAACAGAGAAUCCAGAAAUCAACCUCCCCACAUAGGGUGAAUUGUUUCUUGAAAAAGUCACCAACACAAUUUCAAAGGGAAAGAAACUUUUCAGUCAACGGUGCUAGUGGUGGGAAGUUAGUCAACCAAUUACCCAACCAUGGCCCUUACCUCAUAAACUGCCGCAGUCUGGCUGGGCAAAAUAACUGGGGGGUGACAAGCAACUUGUGAAGAUUGAAACACCGGGAGCCACUUUAUUACGGGAUAGCAGAGGUAUAUAUACCUAAUUACACACAGCUUAACUUAAUUAACAUCAUCUAGAUACAGCAGUCAGUCAUUAAGGAAUCCUCAUCAUCUUAAUGGCUCUCUGGCGUUGCUUCACAAACCACUCCUCCUGGCAAAGUGCCAGGAGCCAUCUUGACUUGAUUGUGGCCCUCAACAAUAAACCACAUACACAUUUAUUCAAAAUGAAUCAUUAUGACUGAAGCUGAUCAGUGUUUGCCUGAUCUGGAAAGGGGUGGAAAGGAGUAAUGACAAUGAAUACAAGAAAACGUUUGGGUUGUUAGACAUGUUCAUUGCUUUAUGUUAUGGUUUAGAUAUGAGGUAACCCCCCCACCCCCACCCCAAAGCUCAUGUGUGAGACAAAGCAAGAAAGUUUAGAGGUAAAAUGAUUGGGUUAUGAGAACCAAUAAGGGUUAGGGACUGAUAGGGAUUAACUGGGAGGUAACUGUAGGUAGGUAGGUAGGGUGUGGCUGGAGGAGGUGGGUCAUUGGUGAUAUGCCUUUGGGUGUAUAUUUUGUUGCUGAUGAGUGAAGCUCUCUCUGCUUCCUGAUCCUCAUGUCUUGAACAGAUCUCCUCCUUCAAACUCUUCUGCCAUGCUGUUUUGCCUCAUCAUGAGCCCAGCGCAAUGGAAUUGGCCAUCUCUGGAAUGAGACUUCUGAAAUCAUGAAUGCCAAAUGAACUUUUCCUCCUUUAAAAUUGUUCUUGUCAAGUCUUUAGGUUGCAGUGGCAAAAAAACAAAUAAACAAACAAACAACCCUCCCCUCCAAACUGAACAAAACAUCUUAUUUGUGGUAAUGGUUCCAUAGGUGCAUAUACAUAUAUCAAAUUCUCCACUUUUCAAUAUGUGGAGUUUAUAUGUCAAUUUUACCUCAAGAAAGCUGUGAAGAAGCAAAAGAAACAAUCAAGAACGUGAAGAGAGAGCCUAUAGAAUGAGACAAAAUCUUUACCAUCUGCCCCUCAGAGCAUCAAAUUCCAGGUUAUAUAAAGAAUUCAAAAAAUGUAACAUCAAAUAAAUAAAUAAAUAACCCGAUCAAACAAUGGGCAAAGGAACUGAACAGACAAUUCAAAGAAGAAUAAAUAUUAUUGGUCAACAAAAAUAUUAAAAAAUGUUCAACAUCUCUAGCAAUUAGAGAAAUGCAAAUUAAAACUAUGGCAAUUAUCAAGAAUAUAAGUAACAAUAAAUGUUGGUGAGGAUGUGGGGGGAAAAGGUACACUAAUACAUUGCUGGCAGGAAUACAGAUUGGUGUAAAUACUCUGGAAAGCAGUAUGGAGAUUCCUCAGAAUGCUUGGAAUGGAACCACCAUUUGACCCAGUUAUCCCAAUCCUCAGUUUAUUACCCAAAGGACUUAAAAUCAGCAAACCACAGUGACACAGCCACAUCAAUGUUUACAGCAGCUCAAUUCACAAUAGCUAAGCUAUGUAACUAAUGUAGGUGCCCUUCAACAGAUGAAUGGAUAAAGAAAAUGUGGUGUAUAUACACAAUGGAAUAUUAUUCAGCCAUAAAAGAAGAAUGAAAUUAUGGCAUUUACCAGUAAAUGGACGAAACUGGAGAAUACUGUGCUAAGUAAAAUAGGCCAAUCCCAAAAAACCAAAGGUUGAAUGUUUUCUCUCUAAUAGGCAGAUGCUAAUUCACAGUAGGGUGGGGGCAGUUAGGGAAGAAUAGAAGUAUUGGAUUAGACAAAGAGGGAUGAAGGGAAGGGGAGAAUAGGAAUAGGAAAGACAGUAGAAUGAAUUGGACAUUACUAUCCUAUGUGCAUAUAUGAUUACAUGACCAAUGUAAUUCUACAUCAUGUACAACCACAAGAAUAAGUUAUACUCCAUAUAUGUAUGUCAAAAAUACAUUCUACUAUCAUUUAUAACUAAUUAGAAUGUGUGUGUGUGUGUGUGUGUGUGUAUCCUCUUGGUUAAAUUUAUGUUUUGGGUUCUUCCUAUUUUGCUGUUACACAAUGGAAAAUAAGCUGCUUCCAGGUUUCCAAUCUCUGUGCACUUUUAACCCCUAUCUCAAUUUUUCUGUCCUCUGAUAAGGCUUAGCCAGUUCCCAAGAGGAGAUCUCUUCACUAGACACUUGUUGCUAGAGGUUUCCUCCCCGAUCACUACCAUUACCCUCUCUGCUCUCUUUCUGCUCUACACUCUGACAAGCAGUGCUCAGAACCAACAUCCAAAGCCAUUCGCGGUAUACCUGGGCUUCUCCAUUUCCAAGGGAUGAGGCAAGCCUCCAUCUUAGAAAGACAUGACACACGAUAGCAGAUGUGAGACAGUUGUUUAAGGGUUACAUGAGACAACUAUGUUUUGUAACACGAGGACUCACAAUUUGUGCAAAAUCGGGACAUUAUUUCAGUUUGUAAAAAAAUGAGAACAUUAUUAUCUUUGCAAAACUAUGAGAAGUUAAGGGACAAGAUGGGCAGCUCUAGAAAGAAGGCUGUCAGUGGGUGCGUUCAGGAUGUAUUCCAGGAAAUAAACCCCCUCAUCUGCCAUCACUCCAACAGUGCAUAGCCCACUUGCUUUGUGCCAGACAUUCUGAGGCUUAGAGCUUGCAAAGAUAAGGCAUUACUCUUGCCCUUAAUAAUUUUUUGGUAUCUCAAAGGAGAAGGAUGCACAGACCAAUUCCUUAGGAAAAAUUAUAUUUAAAUAAUUGAAACAUGUUUUAAAAUUAUUAAAUUAUAUAAGUAAUUCUAAUUAAAUCUAAUUUUAUUUUAUUGUUAAAUCAGUUAAGUUUAUUGGACCACUUUGUCUACUAUGGUUAAGCACAUCAUUAAAUAUGAAAAAUUACAGACAUUAUAAAUUAGGAUACUGAUAUUUUAAUUUCUACUUAGCAACUUUUCAAAGUUCCAAGUUUAAAACAAGAACUCAGGUAUAACUAUAGAUACCCAGACCAGGUGUCCUGAGUUAAGUAUUGCAGUCAAAAUUCAAGUGUAGAAUAGGCAGCCACCCAGGAUGCAGCUCUCACAGUGAGGAACAUUAGUUGGGCUUUCUGUGUGGGUGGGUGAUGAUUUAAGACCUACAGUGUUAUAAAUGUUUUCUCUUCACUGGACUCUACUUUCAUUAAAAGCAGAAAGAAUGUCUUUUAUCUCUGAAGUUGUGGUGUCCAGGCCUUAACUAUCCAAUAGGCAGACAAGCAAGUGUGUAGGGAAUAAGAAAAAAAAUAAUGGCCCAAAAUGAAAAGAAAAAGAUCCUGAAGAGUUUAAUAUUGAACAUUUACAAAAAUUAUCAAACUAGCUAUUGUGAGGUCAUGGAAAAACAAUUCUGAUAAUUUUGUUUCACAUUUUUUAUUUGUGCUGUUUUUAUAUUUAAUGACCUGUGGAUAGUCCAUAAUGAGAGAGGGGGUAUAAACAAUAAUCUUUUCAAUGCUUAGGGCCUAUAAAGGUGUUAAUUCAGGUGUAACAAUGACCACCAAAGUGCCCAACCAAUAGUAUUGCUCAUUAAAAAUGUGAGCAAAAAAUAUGUUUAUAUGUGUCUGUCUAUGUGGGCAAUCUUAUAUGAGCGGAUAAUUUUAAAAAACAUUUUUUAGUUGUAGUUGGACACAAUAUCUUUAUUUAUAUUUAUGUGGUGCUCAGGAUCUAACCCAGUGCCUAACACAUUCGAGGUGGGCACUCUACCACUGAGCUACAGCCCCAGCCCUGAACAGAUAAACUUUAUUGGGGGAGUCAUUAUUAAAUUUGUACUGUUUUAUACUGAAAACUCAGAUAAUAGAUAUUUAAAUUUAAUCCAGUUUCUUAGAAAAGUAACAACAUCUACAUACAGAUAAUCAGACUGCUAGUUUUUUUAUUAGGCACUACAGACAACCCAAUUUCUGACUAUAAAACAAUGUUAUCAACUAGAACUCUCAUUAAUUGGAUGUAAAUCACUUUUGCAAACAAAGAAAUGAUGACUUUAUCCAGUGGUUGAGGACUUUACUUUAAAAAAUCUUAGCAAUAAUAAUAACAAAUUUAACUAAUGCCAACCUCAUUUCUUGCAUCCUUUUAAAAUGAGUCUGAAAUAAAAUUAAAAUGAAUCUGAGUAUUCCUAGUCAUUUUAUUAAUUCCUGAGCAGAUAAGAGACAUAUGUUUAUAACAUUCACUAUUUUGAAAAAUUUGAACAGUCUAUUCAGACAGGACCCAAGUCUCCACUUUUAAAAUGAUUGUGUUAGCUUCUUUAAGUAGAUUGAGCAUAUUUUAGUACUGUCAUUGUUUGCACACUAUUGGUUUUCCUAUUUUGCAGCAGAGAUAACUGUUUAAAAAAAUGCUUGCAGAAUGUCCUAUGGAAAGUCAGUGUUAAAACACAAAACCCAAACCAGGUGUUUAAUUUGUAGCCUCCUAGAACAUUGUGUUUCAAAUAUGACACACUGGAUUGGAGAUAAAUUUUAUAGUCAGUUUUGCUGCGCAGAAAAGAUCAGUAUGUUAUGUAUGGUAAAGGUAUUAUUUUGUGAAAUGUGUGUGUGUGUAUGUGUGUUUGUGUGUGUGUGUGUGUGAAUUUCUUAUGUGGGUUGCAGUCCAAAAAUAUCUAAAAGCAUUGUACUUGUAUUUCUCCAAAGGUAAGUAUGCAAAAAGUCUAUUUUAGUUCAGACUAGGGGCAACAAGCUAAUACAUAGUGUGUACUUACUAGAUACUGCUCGUAAAAGGCCUUGCCUUAAGUACUCUGGAAAAGCCAAUACAAAAAUAUCUGAGAAAUAUUAUGAUCUCACUGCAGAACUAUCAGUCUUUCAUGAUACUCAACAUCUUGGUGAAGACUGAAAUAUUUGCCCAUAAACCCCCACACAUGCAAUAUAGACCAUAUAGCAUGACUAAAUUUAUGAAUAACUGAUUUUUCUAUCUUCAUCUAAACAAAGAUAAAGCAAAGAUACUGCUACAUUCCAUAAAAAUUGCUUUUACAUUCCAAACAAUACUAGAGUUUCAUAUUUUUUUCUCUUAGAUUUGCAAGAGGAUCUGUUCCAAUUUUCCUGGGCUCAUUUAUAAAAUGGAAUGUGCUACUCAUGAAUGAUAGAAAAAAUAAUUUUAUAUUCAGAAUUACUUCAUCUUCCUGUCAACUGACCUUGACUUGCAGGGGAAUACUAAAGAACUGGAGAGAGAUGCAGGAGCACAACUUCAAGGGGAUAAUUCCUCAUCUUUUAAUCCUAAGCUCCUACCCAUAAUCAAAGGCAGACCUCUCGGGUGCUCUGGAUGCCCAAUGUCUGUCCCACAUGUAAGCUCCUGCUUCUCAUUAACUUUCAAAAAAUGUUAACAGAUCCCUUUGCCAGCGCAGACAUCAUGCAAAAUUUGUUUUCUGAAGCUUUCUCUCUCCUCAUGUUCUUACUCUAGCCAUCCUUUCUCCAACACUCAGUGCCUUGCUGGCCUACCCCAGGUCUUCCAGGCACCUUGUUGAAGGUCCUCCAUCACCUGCUAUCCUUUACACCAGAUUGCCUAGGAACCUUUUCCUCUUUUGUCAAAAAUGACCUGUGUAUCAAUAUCCUUAGGUCUCAGUUUUCUGCUAAGUGGUUAUUGGUUUUUCUGGAAAAAUGAAGUUUUAAUUCAUGUUCUAAUUAAUGAUCAGAGGCCUGAUCAUUCCAAGUGUACUAUUCAAAUGACUGGUGACAGUUAUCUACCACUGUAAUUAUCCUCAAAUCCUUCAACAAGGUGAACUAGAGCUGGUAGAAAAUGUACCAUUUUCAUGGAGGACGGGAGGAGGAUUGAUGUUAGGAUAGGAAGUGAAUGGCCCCUGAUAUUCUCUGGGACCUUAUUCUCUCAGUUGAUAGUUGCGCCUCAGAAACUAUCCAAGAGAAAGUUUGAUGUAGCUGAGUCAGGAGACCUAAUGCCUGCUCCCCACUCUGUAAAGAGCUGACGGUGUCUCACCAUGUGCUAGUUUUAUAUUGCUGUGACAAAAUUCCUGAAAGAGUCAACCUAAAGGAGGAAGGGUUAAUUUUGGCUCAUAGUUUCAGUCUGUGGUCAGUUGGCUCUGAUGCCCUUGGACCUGCAGCAAAGCAGAACAUUAUGGUAGGGAGCACACGAUAGAACAAAGCUGCUCACUUCAUGGUGGCAAGGAAGCAAAGAGACAGGAAGAAGCCAGGGUCCCCAUGUCCCCUUUAAGGGCACUUACACAAUAACCUAAAUUCUUCUACAUAGCUCUACCAGCAUAAAGCUCCACCAGCAUGAUUGUACCAUCGACUGAGGACCAAGCCUUUAACACAUGGCCUUUGGGGGACAUUUAAAAUCCAAGUCAUACCAGUUUUUGAAAAACAUUAUGAUUCUUUAUUUGUUUAGCUUUGUUCUUAAAAUUUUUAAACUUUCACCACUAUCUAUUCUAACUUUUAGGAAUGAUGACUUUAGAAUACAAUUUCUCUAUGACAAAAUGUCAGAAAAUAAUGUGUCCUCACAUAAAAAUGUAUUCCCUUACCUCUACUGCAGAAAUGUGACUGGCCGAGGGCUUAGGUCCUCCUUGGGACCACACUUACCACCGGCUGCUGUGGGCAGAAUGAAGAAUAAGGCAGGCCCAUUCUAGCAAGAUGAGGACUCCUCUGGGCAUGAUGACUUUGACUCCAGGAAGCCCAGUGGCUGGCUUAAGCUUUCUUAGAACUGAACUGUGCUCCCAGAUUCUUCUUGCCCACCCCACUUCCUGCUAUCCUUCACAGGGGCCAGAUCUGCAUCUCAGUUUGAAGGUUCUCCACCUCUCUUCUACCUUCCUCCCUUUCCCCCCUUGUAGAUAUAUAAUCCUGUAAAAAUAAGAAUUCUGACUGUCAGAGGACCUGUACUGACAAAAGGUCCCCAUCUUCUACUUUAUUUGCUUGUGACUCACAUCGUCCCCAGGAAACAAAAGGCUGCAGUAUUUAUCAUCCAUGCUAAAACAUAAUUCCUAGACUAAACUUUCCAUUGUAUUACAUGAUUUCUCCUGAAGAAACCUUUGUACUAAAUGCAAAGUAUCAUAGAAAUAUCUAAGGCAUAGGUAUGCCUGUGAAUUUUCCAGAGACAAUUUCCAAGUAUUGUUCUGUCUAUCCAGACCAGUGAUUUUCAAAGGUUAAGCCAUUGACUCCUUUCUUCAAGUUAAAUCCUCACUGACAUCAACAGACAACAGUGUAAGUGGGGGUGGAGCACAAUUAGGAUAGGGGGUGAAGUGGCCAAGGAGAACUGAUGUCAACUGCUGGGCUUCCUGUCUCCUCAUUCUCACUCAAUUGUUGCUGAGGUGCCCUUUCCAAGAAUCCCCCUGAGCUGUACUAAGCAUGGUAAGAAAAAAAAAUCCUGCAAAGACAGUAGAUUUAUAAAUAUUAUUUCACAGAGGUAUCCUCAGUGAACUCUAAUGAGGAGAAAGAGGGUCAAGCCAUGAGGUUCUGGUUGCCUCAGAGGGUGCCGCUUUGCUUUUAUCUGUUGGUCUAUGAUUGUGAUUGUUCAUAAGAUUUCUUUGAAGAAAUUGUUUAGUAGUAAAAACAAUUUAAAAAAAAAUUGAAAAGCCCUUGCUCCAGGUCACUGUUACAGAAAAGACUUCUACAGAAUGUAGUUUUCCCUAUGAAAUGGAAGAACUAGAGGACAAGACCAGCCAUUUGACUUAUCCCAAUGUGUGGUAGUGAAUUAUCUGGUCUAGCAUGAACUAUGUCACAUUUAAUUAAUUCAGGUGUUCCAAAAUAUAUAUAUUUGACAUCUACUAUAUGCUGAGCAUUGGCCAGUUACUAAGGAGGUCACAUUCUUUUGAAAGAGGAAAUUCAUAAAUAAGUACUGAGCAGUAUGAUUCAAGUGCAAGAAAAUCCCAAAGAAGGGCAUCCCUUACCCAGCCAGGGGCGGAGGGGUACCAGCAAGAGCUGAGGUGAAAAGGAUCCUCGAAAGAUUCAGGUAUUUGAUGCUGGGUGUUUGUUCUAUUUUGUGCUGAUCUCUGUUUCAUAUGCUUUGGCACUUGUUCUAUUUUGUGCUUGGCUCAGGCAACCUUGUGAGAUAAAGACUAUUGUCAUCCCCAUUUUAGAGAUAAAGAAACUGACAUACAGAGAAGUAACAGGCCUGAGGUAACACAUUCAUAGAUGGAAGAGCCAGGAGUGCACCAUCCUGUGGCCAUCUUCUUCACUCCUGUGCCUCCUACCACUUUGAUGUCAUCAGAUUUACCCCACAGAACAUCAACAAACCAGGAUUGAACCAAGGUAUUCUGAAUCCCAGAGUAGCCUUAAAUUCAAACUCCCAAGACCCCAGAGUGUCUAUUUUUCUUAGUGGUCUGUCAGAGGCUGAUGACUCUCAAAGUAGCAUCUUUAAAAAAAGGCAAGACAGUCACUAGAAUAGCAACUUCAGGGUCCUUGUUUAGAAGUGCUUGGGGUAGGGAAGUAUUGCAAAUAUAAGACUGGACUUCCAUUAAACAGAAAUGUACUGUUAGCAAAAGCCUGGUGUGUUUGGGUGAAUAGUAAGUUUCCACCACAUGUAAGGUAUAAUAAUAAUCAGGUUUUCAAAAUACUCAGCCAGACUCUGCUGGUUUCUCUAAGAUAGAAAUGCACAGACAGAUAAAAGACUGUGUUCAGGUUUUAUUUUAAUCUUUGCCUCCCUGCUUGUGGUCUUAAAGGCCUUAGUACUGACAGCAAAUGAUAUUUCUACCUCCUUCUUUACAAAGCAGGAAUUUGCAUUUUAAUUUUGGAAUACUUAGGGAAAAAUCAAAUGAAAUGCUUUAUUUACCUUUUCGAGAUUUUUUUUUUCUUCUUUCCAGGAAUAAAGCCUAUUGCGUACUGAGCUGCAUACUAAAUGUCAUGAAUCUCAAGGCAGAGCUCGUUACUGGAGCUACAGUGAAUGCGUUUGUGCUUCAGUCAGGAGGAAUUUCAACUUCAAGGGGCUCCAGAUUGGAAUAGAUUUCUUUUAAAGUAAAAUAGUUGGGCUUGCCUUGAAUUGAACCUCAAGAACAACAUUUAAUAAAAAUGUGCUGUGAGCCCUGCUUUGAUAAGGAAAGCUAUUUAUAAGCAUCUUGUCAUCUUCUAUAGCAACUCUAAAGGCCUCUAAACCCUGAAAGUGAUGAGAAUAUAGCUACUAGUAUACAAUUCCCAAGUUUGUCUACCCAUCCUAGUUGCUGUUCACCUGAGUCCAAAAUGGACACUCAGAAAGCAAAAGUGGUUGCUGCUAUUAAAUACAUUGGGACAACAGGCAUAAACUGGGAACCAAAUCUGGCAAACUAGCAGGAACAAACAGCCUAAUCAUGGGCAAAUUCCCUUUUCUAGCAAAGAAACGAUCAGCAUGGAGUCUGUAGGCAGAGUAUAAUGUCUGAUCCAGAAUUUACUCAAUGAAGGACCAGGAAGGAAGUCCCCUACAUGGAACAACUUUGAACACAAAAAACAGAAUCGGAAGGGUGAUAGAGUCAUCUAGUUCUAUGGGAUGAGAGAGUAGAGAGGAAUUGGGGUUGUCAUUUGGAUCUGUGUAAAAGGCUGGUGGACUGAUAGGAGGUGGUGGAAACUUUAGCAGGUGGGCCUAGUGGAAGGUCACUGGGGGAUGUCCUUGAGGGGCUUGUUGGGACCAUCACCUCCUUUCCCUAUCGCUAUUUGCCUCCCAGCUGCUCCACACAUGUUCCUUGUCUUGGUGUUCUUUGUCACCAUAGUCCCAAAACAGUAGAGCCAACUGACCAUGGACUGAGACCCCUGAAACCGUGAGCCAAAAGAAAUCUCUCCUUUUAAGUAGUUUGUCAGCUAUUUUGUCACAUGGAAAGCUAACACAUAAACUAAAAUUACUGAAACAACUGUUCUUUUAUUCUUAGAUUAUGUCCUUUCUUACCAUUUUUUGGGCGUUGAACAAUUAUUUUUAAUCAAAUGAAAUAAAUACUAGAGAAUAAUAAUAUUUUUAAUGUUUUUAACCUGGCAAAUUUAAAAGUGGCAUCUCUAUGGAGAUCCCAAAAUGUUAAGUCAGAGCCAAAGACCCAUAGCUUUAAGAUAACUUCAAAUCAUAAAACACGGUAGAAAAAAGGUUGUUGUUAUUUUUUUUUUCUUUUUCAGAAAAAAGAGGAAGAUAAUCAAUAACAAGUAAUUACAAUCAUUGCAGCUUGAUGUUGGCCAGGGAUCCUAACGGCUCAGAGGUGUGAGGAAUUCGAAGAUUGUCUUUAGUCUUUCUAUCCCAAGUCCUUGGCCCUUGGCAAGACCCUCUGGCUCUUUCCCAGCAGUCAAUCUGCUCCUUGCAAAAGCUCCAGCUCCCCAGGAGAGAGUCAGUGAGCAUGGAUGAGGAUAAUCUCAUGAAAACUGGCAGGUCCAGUCCUUCUAUGUUACUUUUAGAAGAGAAGAAGUUUCUUCUUUUUGGGUUAAGGACUGAAAUUAGCUAGACUGAUUUCAUUUCUCCACUUGGCUUUGUGUACAUGGCUAUUGACUCUGAAACCGAAGGAGGGGUAAUGCAGAGGAAUGCUCUGGCUACUGGUAUAAAACUUGCCAAGAAAAAACCAACGAGGACUUGAUUUUAUGAAUGCGGUAUUCUUUUGCUAAUCCCCCAGCACUGGAUCACAGAAGAGUAAAGACAAAUCUACUCAGGAGUAUUAUUUUCAGACUUCAGGAUGAAGGUAGCUAAAUAGCAAGCUUCUCUAAGUACAAAGAUGCUCAGCAAGCCCAGGCAUAUUUCUGCUUUAGGAGGAAAAAAAUCAAACAGUCUCUGCUCUUAUAAAAUCCACGUAUCUAUAUUUUAACAUGACAGCAUUACCAAGAAUUAGUAAUUAGCCUGAAGUAUCUGGUCAAAAUCAAAUAGACUUGAGUCAACCAGCUCCUAUGAAUUCAUUCAGUCUAUUUCAGAUUUUAUGAUAUUAAAUUGCUUUUGCAAAGUUGUGCAUAAUAAAACAAAAUAAAGGAUGGCUUGAGGAUA